UGGCUCGCUCGCCUGCCUUUCCGGCGUCGUUUUGAUGUUCGAUCGGACGUACCAGUAGCCUAGUGUCUGUCUGUCUGUCCAUGAGUACUACUCUUAUUAAGCUGACCACCCCAUGUGGUGUUUGUACCGGUGCGGGUCGUGGUAGAGUUGAUGAGAUCUGGUAGGGAAUUCUUUCUUCCUUCUCGUAGCGGUGACGGUGUUCCGAGACAUAUAAUUAUGUGUUGUCGUUCCAACUUCGUCUGUUUCCAUGCCACUUUUGUGCCGCUAGCUCAUGAUCGUGGUGGCGUGUCUCGUGUUGUCUUUGGCGCUGGGCCGGUCGGUCACGGCUUCGCAUCAUCAGGUCGACCCGCCCACGAUGCCAUGAUCCGUGUGAGCAUGCACGGUGGAGUUUUGGGGGUUUGCGGUGCGCCGCGCUGCGGCGGCACAUGGAGCUUGGACGGAUGUCGGGCAAGGAAAAAUAUCGCCGCGAUCGAGGUCUGGUGCUCGGAGCCAGAGCGCAGAGUCCACUUUGAUCUGGACUCUUGUCUGUGGCGCGCACUACUGUAUCUCGAGCGAGCGGAACACGCCGACACCGACACAGGAAAGGCUCACGAGGCGCCCCACUGUGCCUCUGAUCUCCUCGGGGGCCGCGCGGUUCAUGACGGGACCAGCCGCGGGCGCAGCCAGGUGCGGGCACGGGAUUGGGGGUACCAGGCGGUGGUCUUCGGCGCGGUCUGGGCCAACGCAUGGAUCCACGAGCAUGGUUUGGGCCUCACGGGCCCUUGUGCUCGCCGCUCGUUGAGCGUGGGCUGGUGUUGUGCCUUGGAGGUGGCACAUUUAGCAGUUACAUCUUCUCUUUCGAUGCUAAAAAAAAAAGCAGUUACAUCUUCUCUCUCAAAAAAAAAUCAGUUACAUCGGCACGUCUAAAGAAAAGCAGUUACAUCGGCGAAGGAAAAUUCAAAAGCGAAAUCAGUAGUUCAGGGUUGUUCCGCAACUCCUUUCAGGGUUGUUCCGCAACUCCGCCGGCGAGUCCGGUCCGAGGUUGCGGAGCGAGGGAGCGCGUUGUAGACGAAGUAGUCGAACACGCAAAAGUAGAUGAACACAGAAGAAACUAGCUUUAUUAAUCAAUGAUCAACUGUUAUAAUGAUUGCUCCUCGUCGCUUUAUAUAGGGGUAGGGGGUCAAGGGAUAAGUGGGUAGAUGAACACAGAGAAAUAUGGAGGAGACUAGCUUUAUUAAUCAAUGAUCAACUGUUAUAAUGAUUGCUCCUCGUCGCUUUAUAUAGGGGUAGGGGGUCAAGGGAUAAAUACCCACUUAACGUAAAGUGUGGAACCGGGAGGGGCUAUCCCAUGCGAUACGCACGCAGUCGCUAGCCUCACGACGUGGGCCGGUUUCCCAACACUCCUCCUUGGGUAAUUAUCCGUAUAUACAUGUCGCAAAACUUCAAAAAACCCAGUGGGAAAAAACAUGAAGAAAGAGCAUACAUUAUACGUUGUUGUAUUGCACGAAUUGUCUCGUCAAAAACCUCGCGUGAGAAACAUGAGAAAAACUCAUUCAAGGGAAAAAGAGCACAAUCCACUCAACCAUCAAGUUGAGUACUCGAUCAUCAAGAUUGAGAUUUUAACCACGAGUUUGUGAAGUUUCUCCCCCUGAACCUUGCAUCUCUCUAAGUCUCAUCAUACCGAUUCCACGCACACACCUCUCUAAGGUUGAUGCCGGUAAUGAUUUAGUGAACAUAUCAGCAAGAUUGUUACAGGACUUAGUGUGCAAAACUCUCACCUCGUUCAACUACUGCAGCUCAUGUGCAUAGAAGAACUUGAAACUAAUAUGCUUUGUGAGGUUACUCUUCACAUAACCCAUCUGGACUUGUGCAACACAAGCAGCAUUAUCUUCAUAGAUAAUAGUAGGGGUUUGUACGGUGUUCAGCCCACAUGUCUGCUGAAUGUGGCCGAUCACUCGCCAAAGCGAUACACAUUCUUUUGACGCUUUGAAUAGUGCCACGAUUUUCGAGUGGUUCAUGGAAGUCGACACAAGAGUUUGCUUGGACAAGGAAAAUGCAGUUCCACCACAAAUAAAAACAUAUCCAGUCUGCGAUUUGCAAUCAUGCGGGUCCAUAGGUACCCAGCAUCGGCAUAUCCUAUAAAUAGAUAGGUCUUGAUUCCUUCUAUAAAACAGGCUAAGAUCUUUGGUCCCUUGCAGGUAACGAAAGACGUCCUUGACACCUUUUCAAUGUCUUUUGGUAGGUUCAGAACUAUACCUCGCAAGCAAACUGAUGACGAACGCAAUGUCUGGUCGUGUACAGUUUGCGAGGUACAUGAGUGCUCCAACUACACUCAGGUAAGGAACCUCUGGUCCCAGAGUUUCCUCCCGCUCUUCCUUUGGCCUGAACGGGUCCUUGUCUGGCUGUAAAGAUCUCCCAACCAUCGGGGUCUUAGAAGGAUAUGCCUUAUCAAAUCCAAAUCUUUCCAACACCUUCUGGGUGUAGGCCGCCUUGUGCACUAGAAUCCCAUCAGGGGAAUGUUCAAGUUGCACACCUAGACAGAACUUGGUUUUACCCAAAUCCUUCAUCUCGAAUUCCAACAUCAGGUAGGAACUCACUUCCUCAAUAUCCUCAGGCGUACCGAUUAUGUUUAAAUCGUCCACGUACACCGAGAUUAUACAGAAUCCAUCUUGGGAUCGCCGUAUGAAAACACACGGGCAAUCUUUAUUGCUCGUGUAGCCCUUCUGAUGAAGGAAAUCACUUAAGCGAUUGUACCACAUUCGACCCGACUGUCUGAGUCCGUACAGUGCCUUUUGAAGUUGAACACUUUAUAGACCCCUAUUUGCUCUAUCAUGGUUCGGAACAGUGAUACCUUCUGGAACCUUCAUGUAUAUGUUCGAAUCCAAGUUACCAUACUGAUAAGCAAUGACAAAAUCCAUUAGUUUCAUUUUCAAGCCCAUGUUUACUGCCAUCGAGAUCAAGUAUCUAAAGGUAACUCCGUCCAUGACCGGGGAAUAAGUCUCCUCAAAAUCGACACCUGGUCGUUGAGUGAACCCUUGAGCGAUGAGCCUUGCUUUGUACUAUACUACCUUAUUAUUUUCAUCUCUCUUUCGAAGAAAAACCCACCUAUGGCCAACAUGGCGAAUGUGGGGAGGAGUUCGACAAACUGGUCCGAACACCUUCCUUUUGUUGAGAGAUAAUAAUUCAGUAGUAAUUGCCUCCUGCCAAUCUUUCCAAUCCGACCUUUUCUUGCAAUCAGCGAGCGUGUUAGGCUCAGGUUCGAGAUCUAUGAUUGAGGCAAUUUUUGUAGCAAAGUUAAUGUCGACAAUCACCGUUGCUCGGUUCAGGGACUCCCCCGUAUAAAUAUAAUUUAUGGACAUUUCUUCAUGGGGCGCAUCCGGUGCAAACACUUUCUCUACCAAAUUUCCCAUUAUGGGAGCAAGGUCCUUUAGAUUUCCCGCGCCGAUGUGUGCGCUCACAUCUCCGCUGGGUGUUUCCCCUAUGGGAAAGUUAAGUCCGGAAUUUUGUGCAUUGAAUUUUCCGUACUUGUGCCAGGUCUCGACUGGCUCCCCGUUUCAAUUUUGGAUACUUUGGCGAUAGGCUGUAAUAAAUCUCUCUUAUCAUUUUUCGUCGAGCGUCCCCGAGUACUUGGGAUUUGAGAAGCCGGAUUUCUCGUCCUUUUAGGCCUUUGGACGGGAGCGGGUAUAUCAUCAUUUUUCUUUGGUAUUUCAACCCUUUUCGGUGCAUUGCGCGUGUGCACAUGCGAUUUUGUCAUAGUCUUUAAGUCACUAAAGUGGUUAGGCAGUUGAUUUGCUAAAAACUGCAAAUCUAUUAUCUUUUGGACUUCUCUCUCAGUCUCAGUAGUGCGCAGGUCAUGAGCGUGGAUCCCCGUGGCUUGCCAUGUGAUUUCUUGACUUUUAGCAUCAAGGGGUUGAUUCUCUCCUCCUAAAAUCGGGAAAAAAUCCUCGUAAAAAAUGCAAUCAGCAAAACGAGCCGUGUGACAGUCACCUGUCAUGGGGUCCAGAUACCUGAUUAUGGACCCAGUCGCAUAACCAACGUAUAGCCCCGACUGAUGGAGCGGGCCCAUCGCCGAUCACUGAGGGGGUGGUAUUGGUACAUAUACCUGGCAACCGACCCUACGAAGGUGGGUAAUUUUCAGUGCCGACCCUUGCGUAAGUUGAACAGGAGAGUGGAUGUUGUAGGCCGACGGUCUAAAGUUGAUGAGAUUGGCCGCGUGUAACACCGCAUGGCCCCAACAUGUAGUUGGUAAAUUACAACCCUGAAGGAGCAGUUCGGCAAUGAAUUUAAUUCUUUUAAUAAAUGCCUCGGCAAGUCCAUUUUGUGUAUGAACAUGCGGUAUCGAGUGCUCAACUUUGAUUCCCAUUGUCAUGCAAUAAUCAUUGAACGCCUUUGAAGUAAAUUCUCUGACGUUGUCCAUUCGAAUAGACUUUAUACGAUAAUCAGGGAAAUUAUUCCUCAUUUGUAUGAUCUGAGAGAUCAACUUUGCAAAGGCAUGGUUUCGUGUUGACAGCAGGCAACAUUGGACCAUUUAGAGGAAGCAUCAAUGAGCACCAUGAAGUACCGAAACGGCCACGUGAGGGGCUGAAUUGGACCCCAUAUUUCCCCUUGGAUACGUUCCAAGAACGCGGGGAUUUCAUCCCUCACCUUGAGGGGUGAUGGCCUAAUGACUAACUUCCCCUUAGCGCAUGCAGAGCACACGAAAUCAUCGGGAUUCAGGAAGUUCUUCAUGUUAACAUUGUGACCAUGCGAGUUGUUAAUUAUAUUUCUCAUCAUCCUAAGUCCGGGGUGGCCUAACCUAUCGUGCCAGAGGCAGAAGAGUUCAGAUCUUCUAAAGACGGUCUUGAGGAUAGUGUACACGGGCGGUGCUACUAUUUUAGUGUAGUAUAACCCUAUGUCAAACGAAGGAAGUCUUUCAAUAACAUGUUUACCACUUGCAUCCCGCUUUGUGAUGAGUAGGCACUCCUUGCCGUUUUCAUCAUCGGUAUCAAUAUGGAAACCAUUAGCACGGAUGUCUCUCAAGCUCAAAAGAGUACGAAUCGACUCCGGGUACAACAAUGCAUCAUUAAUGAUCAAACUUGUUCCCAUAGGAAGUAUAAUAGUGGCUUGUCCGGAGCCAACUAUGUGCGAACCGCAGUCGGCGAUUGUCAUAAUACUUCCCGAAGAUUUUUUUAUGGACUCAAAGUACUUAGUUUCUCGUAAAAUGGUAUGAGUGGUGGCGCUAUAGGCAAGGCACGUUUCCUCCAUUCGGGCGCCACACGCGUUCUAAAAUAUGACAUCUAAUUAAUGUAAUGAGGAAGAAACUACAUUAAAAAUAAAUGCACACAUCUUAGAAUGUAACAUACUAUCAUGUAUAAAUGAUGGAAUAAAUGUCAUCCAAUCGCCAAAGUAAAGAAUAAGUUUAUGCUCUCAUAGAGCUUACAACCAAAUCGAAUUUAUUGUAUCAGAUCACGGAAUCAUGAUAACCAAAAAGGUAUGCUAAGUGGACUCGAUAAACAAGCCAUUCACUUCAGCCGCAAUCUCCAUAGUAGUGAGCUGAUCCUCCUUAGAAAUCAUCUUGGAGGCAGCAUCAACAUCUAGUUGCGGCAUAGCCGAGGUGACCAUGCGGUUAACCUCCAUGGAGACAUGGGCGUCGUUAGAGACCGCCAAGGCCGCCGCGAUGGGCACCACGGGGGUCGCCUCUAUGGGCACAACAGGGGGCGUAGAGAUCAUCACGGGUGCCGCCAUGGGCGCCGGUGGUGCUCCCUCCUGAACCAAGGCGAGGUGCGUCUCAUGUGCUUUCCAAGCCUUGUAUGCUUCAACGCCCUCCGGUGGUGCGCGACACUAGCGGGAGAAAUACUCCACCGAGCCACAACGGAAGCAGUCCUGAGGCCUCUGCCCUCCCUUGCCCGGCUUGUGCUGCUUAGCCGAGGCGGAGGGUUGAGGGCCCUUCUUCUUGCCCUUGCGGCCCCUCUUCUUCUGUUGAGGCUUGCGGACUUUGAGAGCGUUCACCUCCUGGCGAGAACUCCCCCCAAGUGGUUGCGGGACAAAGUUCUUUUUGAGAACCUCAUCCUACACAUCCUCCACCUGGAGGACGUUAAUCAACUCUGGAUAGCUCAUGUAGUUAUCCUGGCAGUAAUUCAGUGAGGACUGGACCGCGUCAGGGUGGAAAGUGGAUAGGGUUUUCUCAAUCUUCUGGGUGUCAGUAAUCUCAGUACUACACAACCGAAGAAUCGUACAAAUCCGGUGCUGAGCCGAACUGUACUCCCCAACCGUCUUGAAGUCCGCAACCCUCAGACGGAUCCACUCUGCCUCUGCAUGUGGCUUCACAGUGUACUUCAGCCGCUCAAACCACUGCUUAAGAGCGAUCCAAAUGCCAGAAGCACCGCGCUCAGCCAUAUACUCAUCUUUCAGAGUAGGUGACAGGUGAUGACGGAAAAAAUGCAGAGCCUGCACAUUCUUAGUUUUGAAUUUGGGAUCAGUGGGGGCCAGCUGGGCCCCCUUACCGAUCGCCCUCAGGAGGGUUUUGCCCUGGAGAAAGAUCUCACAGUCUGAGGACCAUGGCACGUAGUUCAGCCCUAUGUGGCCAACUCAGUAAACUUCUUGUUGACAAUUCCGGCCAUCUGCGAUUUAUGCAAAAAUCAUGAGAUUACAACAGGUAAUCUUUUGCACAAAUGCGAUAAUGAUAAACUUAUUCAAUAAAAAUGACAUUCCAGUAUUUAAAACAUGUUAUUAUAUGAUUUACUUAAUGAUCAAGAGUGCUGAACAGUUAAUCUACAGUAGUAAAAUCAUACAAUAAAACAUGUUUACAAAAUAUAGCAUGUUAAGCGCAUCUAGUAUGUGAGAACUAGCCCAAAAAUCAAAUUCCCAAGAUAUUUUAAAGCCAAAAUACACAUUUUCAGCGAAAACAGACAAUUCCAGGGGCUUCUACACGAAGUAUUACAACAGGAAUAUAAUGCGCGUAAAAAUAGAAAACUACAGGGGCUAAAAUGCAAAGAACCGCAUGCGCGCGUGAUACAUCCAUUUUGCAUCAUGCUUUUAUAUCAAUAUUUAUUGCUUUAUGGGCUGUUAUUACACAUUAUAUAUCAAUACUUAUGGCUAUUCUCUCUUAUUUUAUAAGGUUUACCAUGAAGAGGGGGAAUGCCGGCAGCUGGAAUUCUGGUUGGAAAAGGAGCAAACAUUGGAAACCUAUUCCGCACUGCUCCAAAAGACCUGAAACUCCAGAAACUUAUUUUUGGAUUUAAUAAGAAUUAUUGAGCGGAAGAAACACCUCAGGGGCCCACACCCUGGCCAGGAGGGUGGGGGGCGCGCCCACCCCUACUGGGCGCGCCCCUGUCUCCUGGGCCCCUUGGUGGCCCCCUGGUGUCCAUCUUCUUCUAUAUGAAGGCUUUCACCCUGGAAAAAAUUGUGGGCAAGCAUACGGGAUGAAACUCCGCCACCACGAGGCGGAACUUUGACGGAACCAAUCUAGAGCUCCGGCAGAGCUGUUCUGCCGGGGACACUUCCCUCCAGGAGGGGGAAUUCAUCACCAUCGUCAUCACCAAUGAUCCUCUCAUUGGGAGGGGGUCAAUCUCCAUCAACAUGUUCACCAACACCAUCUCCUCUCAAACCCUAGUUCAUCUCUUGUAUCCAAUCUUGUAUCCAAAAUCACAAAUUGGUACCUGUGGUUGCUAGUAGUGUUGAUUACUCCUUGUAGUUGAUACUUAUUGGUUUACUUGGUGGAAGAUCAUAUGUUCAGAUCCUUAAUGUAUAUUAUUACACCGCUAAUUAUGAACAUGAAUAUGCUUUGUGAGUAGUUACGUUUGUUCCUGAGGACAUGGGUGAAGUCUUGCUAUUAGUAGUCAUGUGAAUUUGGUAUUCGUUCGAUAUUUUGAUGAGAUGUAUGUUGUCUUUCCUCUAGUGGUGUUAUGUGAACAUCGACUACAUGACACUUCACCAUUAUUUGGGCCUAGAGGAAGGCAUUGGGAAGUAAUAAGUAGAUGAUGGGUUUCUAGAGUGACAGAAGCUUAAACCCUAGUUUAUGCGUUGCUUCGUAAGGGGCUGAUUUGGAUCCAAAUGUUUAAUGAUGUGGUUAGGUUUACCUUAAUACUUUUGUUGUAGUUGCUGAUGCUUGCAAUAUGGGUUAAUCAUAAGUGGGAUGCUUGUCCAAGUAAGGGCAGUACCCAAGCACCGGUCCACCCACAUAUCAAAUUAUCAAAGUACCGAACGCGAAUCAUAUGAGUGUGAUGAAACUAGCUUGACGAUAAUUCCCAUGUGUCCUCGGGAGCGCUUUUCUCAUUAUAAGAGAUUGUCCAGGCUUGUCCUUUGAUACAAAAAGGAUUGUCCACCUUGCUGUACCUUAUUUACUUUUAUUGCUUGUUACUUGUCACAAUUUAUCUUAUCGCAAACUAUCUAUUACCUACAAUUUUAGUGCUUGCAGAGAAAACCUUACUGAAAACCGCUUAUCAUUUCCUUCUGCUCCUCCUUGGGUUUGACACUCUUACUUAUCGAAAGGACUACGAUAGAUCCCCUACACUUGUGGGUCAUCAAGACUCUUUUCUGGCGCCGUUGCCAGGGAGUGUAGCACUUUUGGUGAGUGGAACUUGGUAAGGAAACAUUUAUAUAGUGUGCUGAAAUUUUCUGUUACUUGUUAGUAUGGAAACUAACCCUUUGAGGGGCUUGUUUGGGGCAUCUUCGCCCCGACCAGUAGAGCAAAGAGUUGCUCCUCAACCUACUGAACCUACUGAAAAUGUUCACUUUGAAAUUCCUUCGGGUAUGAUGGAACAUUUGCAGGAGAUGGAACAUUGCAUCCCGAUUUAUACCUUAUCUUUGUGGAUGAAGUUUGUGGAUUAUUUAAGCUUGCAGGUAUUCCCGAUGAUGUUUUCAAAAGGAAGGUCUUCCCUUUAUAUUUGAAGGGAGAUGCAUUGACAUGGUAUAGGCUAUGUGAUGAUAUGGGAUCUUGGAAUUAUAAACAAUUGAAGUUGGAAUUUCACGAGAAGUUCUAUCCUAUGCAUCUUGUUCAUCGUGAUCGUAAUUACAUAUAUAAUUUCUGGCCUCGCAAAGGAGAAAGCAUCGCUCAAUCUUGGGGGAGGCUUAAGUCAAUGUUAUAUUCAUGCCCCAAUCAUGAGCUCUCCAGAGAAAUGAUUAUUCAAAAAUUUUAUGCUCGGCUUUUUCUCAAUGUUCGCACCAUGCUCGAUACUUCUUGUGCUAGUUCUUAUAUGCUAAAGACUAUUGAAUUCAAAUGGGAUUUAUUGGAAAGAAUUAAACGCAACUCUGAAGAUUGGGGUUCUGACGAUGGUAAGGAGUGAGGUAUGACACCUAAGUUUGAUUGUGUUAAAUAUUUUAUGGAUAUCGAUGUUUUUAAUGGAUUUAGCGCUAAAUAUGGACUUGACUCUGAGAUAGCAGCUUCUUUCUGUGAAUCUUUUGCUACUCACAUUUACCUCCCUAAGGAGAAGUGGUUUAAAUAUAAUUCUCCCAUUGAAGUAAAAGUAGUUGCACCUAUUACAGUUGAAGAAAAGAUUAUUACCUAUAAUGAUCCUAUUGUUCCUACUACUUAUGUUGAGAAACCACCUUUUCCUGUUAGGAUAAAGGAUCAUGCUAAAGCUUCAACUGUUGUUUGUAAGAGUAAUACUAGAACUUAUACACCUCCUGAGCAAAUCAAAGUUGAACCUAGUAUUGCUAUGGUUAAAGAUCUCUUGGAUGAUAAUUUAGAUGGGCAUGUUAUUUACUUCUGUGGUGAAACUGCUAAUAUUGUUAAACCAGAUGCCAAGAUACAUAGACCUGUCGUUGGCAUGCCUGUUAUUUCUGUUAAAAUAAGAGAUCAUUGUUAUCAUGGUUUAUGUGAUAUGGGUGCUAGUGCUAGUGCAAUACCUUAUUCCUUAUACCAAGAGAUUGUGCAUGAUAUUGCACCUGCUGAGUUAGAAGAUAUUGAUGUUACGAUUAAGCUUGCCAAUAGAGAUACUAUUAGGCCCUUUGGGAUUGUUAGAGAUGUUGAAGUCUUGUGUGGGAAGGUCAAAUACCCUGCUGAUUUUCUUGUUCUUGGUUCUCAACAAGAUGACUUGUGUCCCAUUAUAUUUGGUAGACCCUUCUUGAACACUAUUAAAGCUAAGAUUGAUUGUGAAAAGGAUGUUGUUACGAUUGGCUUGGAUGAUAUGACUCAUGAGUUUAAUUUUGCUAAAUUUCAUAGACAACCCCGUGAUAAAGAAUUAGCUAGUAAAGAUGAAAUAAUUGGUCUUGCUUCUAUUGCCGUGCCUCCUACUGAUCCUUUACAACAAUAUUUGUUAGACCAUGAAAAUGAUAUGUUUAUGAAAGAAAGAAGGGAAAUAGAUGAAGUGUUCCUUAAACAGGAACCUAUUCUGAAACAUAACUUACCUGUUGAAAUUCUAGGGGAUCCUCCUCCACACAAGGGUGAUCCCGUGUUUGAGCUAAAACCAUUACCUGAUAAUCUUAAAUAUGCUUAUCUUGAUGAAAAGAAGAUAUAUCCUGUUAUUAUUAGUGCUAACCUUUCAGAGCAGGAAGAGGAAAGAUUAUUGAAAACUCUGAAGAAGCACCGUGCUGCUAUUGGAUAUACUCUGGAUGAACUUAAGGGCAUUAGUCCCAUGUUAUGUCAACACAAAAUUAGUUUGGAGGACGAUGCCAAACCAGUUGGAGAUCCUCAAUGAAGAUUAAAUCCCAAGAUGAAGGAAGUGGUAAGAAAGGAGAUACUAAAGCUCUUUGAGGCAGGUAUAAUUUAUCCCGUUGCUGAUAGUCAUUGGGUAAGCCCUGUCCAUUGUGUCCCUAAAUUUUCUUGUUCUCUCUAAAAACACAGUUACAUCGGCACAUCUAAAGAAAAGCAGUUACAUCGGCGGAGGAAAAUUCAAAAGCGAAAUCAGUAGUUCAGGGUUGUUCCGCAACUCCGCCGGCGAGUCCGGUCCGAGGUUGCGGAGCGAGGGCGAGCGUUGUAGACGAAGUAGUCGAACACGCAAAAGUAGAUGAACACAGAGAAAUAUGAAGGAGACUAGCUUUAUUAAUCAAUGAUCAACUGUUACAAUGAUAGCUCAUCGUUGCUUUAUAUAGGGGGUACGGGGUUAAGGGAUAAGUACCCACUUAAGAUAAAGUGUGGAACCGGGAGAGGCUAUUGUUGGAAAUAUGCCCUAGAGGCAAUAAUAAAAUGGUUAUUAUUGUAUUUCCUUGUUCAUGAUAAUUGUCUAUUAUUCAUGCUAUAAUUGCAUUGACCGGAAACGGCAAUACAUGUGUGAAUACAUAGACCACAACAUGUCCCUAGUGAGCCUCUAGUUGACUAGCUCGUUGAUGAACAGAUGGUCAUGGUUUCCUGACCAUGGACAUUGGAUGUCAUUGAUAACGGGAUCACAUCAUUAGGAGAAUGAUGUGAUCGACAAGACCCAAUCCUAAGCCUAGCACAAGAUCGUGUAGUUCGUAUGCUAAAGCUUUUCUAAAUGUCAAGUAUCUUUUCCUUAGACCAUGAAAUUGUGCAACUCCGGGAUACCGUAGGAAUGCUUUGGGUGUACCAAAUGUCACAAUGUAACUGGGUGGCUAUAAAGGUGCACUACGGGUAUCUCCGAAAGUGUCUGUUGCGUGGUCACGAAUCGAGACUAGGAUUUGUCACUCCGUGUGACGGAGAGGUAUCUCUGGGCCCACUCGGUAGGACAUCAUCAUAAUGUGCACAAUGUGAUCAAGGAGUUAAUCACGGGAUGAUGUGUUACGGAGCGAGUAAACGAGAUUUAACAAGGUAUCGGCAUACCGAUGAUCGAAUCUCGGGCAAGUACUAUAUCGGUAGACAAAGGGAAUUGUAUACGGGAUUGAUUGAAUCCUUGACAUCGUGGUUCAUCCGAUGAGAUCAUCGUGGAACAUGUGGGAGCCAACAUGGGUAUCCAGAUCCCGCUGUUGGUUAUUGGCCGAAGAGUUGUCUCGGUCAUGUCUGCGUGGUUCCCCAACCCGUAGGGUCUACACACUUAAGGUUCGGUGAUGCUAGGGUUAUAGGGAAGGUAUGUACGCGGUUACCGAAUGUUGUUUGGAGUCCCGGAUGAGAUCCAGGACGUCACGAGGAGUCCCGGAAUGGUCCGGAGGUGAAGAUUGAUAUAUUGGAUGAAGGGUUUUGGAGUCCGGAAGUGUUCCGGAGGUACCGGGUGAUGACCAGCAUGACCGAAAGGUGUUUCGGGAGCCCCGACAAGUGUUGGGGGGCUUCAUGGGCCAAGGGGAGGGGGCAAACCAGCCCACUAAGGGGCUGUGCGCCCCCUCACCUAUUCCCACGUGACCAGGGGGUUUGGGGCGCCCCAUCUAGGGUUCCCACCUCCUGUCUUGGGGGCCAAGUCACCCAAAGGGGAGAUCCCAUCUGCCCUGGCCGCCGCCCCCCCUAGGGGAAACCCUAGGGCGCCUCCCCCUCUCCCUUCCCCCUAUAUAUAGUGGAGGUUUUGGGGCUGCCCAACACAUGAGUCUCUCUCUCCCAAGGCGCAGCCCUACCUCUCUCCCUCCUCGUCUCUCGUAGUGCUUGGCAAAGCCCUGUUGGAGUACCACACUCCACCACCACCACGCUGUCGUGCUGCUGCUGGACGGAGUCUUCCCCAACCUCUCCCUCUCUCCUUGCUGGAUCAAGGCAUGGGAGACAUCACCGGGCUGCACGUGUGUUGAACACGGAGGCGCUGUUGUUCGGCGCUUAGAUCGGAAUCGACCGCGAUCUGAAUCGCCACGAGUACGACUACCUCAUCCACGUUCUUGCAACGCUUCCGCUUAACGAUCUACAAGGGUAUGUAGAUGCACUCCCCUUCCCCUUGUUGCUAGAUUACUCCAUAGAUUGAUCUUGGUGAUGCGUAGAAAAUUUUGAAUUUCUGCUACGUUCGCCAACAAUGGCAUCAUGAGCUAGGUCUAUUGUGUAGAUUCUAUGCACGAGUAGAACACAAGUUGUUGUGGGCGUUGAUUUUGUUCAAUAUGCUUACCGUUACUAGUCCUAUCUUGUUUCGACGGUAUUGUGGGAUGAAGCGGCCCGGACCGACCUUACACGUACACUUACGUGAGACAGGUUCCACCGACUGACAUGCACUUGUUGCAUAAGGUGGCUAGCGGGUGCCAGUCUCUCCCACUUUAGUCGGAUCGGAUUCGAUGAAAAGGGUCCUUAUGAAGGGUAAAUAGCAAUUGGCAUAUCACAUUGUGGCUUUUGCGUAGGUAAGAAACGUUCUUGCUAGAAACCCAUAGCAACCACGUAAAACAUGCAAACAACAAUUAGAGGACGUCUAACUUGUUUUUGCAGGGUAUGCUAUGUGAUGUGAUAUGGCCAAAAGAAUGUGAUGAAUGAUAUGUGAUGUAUGAGAUUGAUCAUGUUCUUGUAAUAGGAAUCACGACUUGCAUGUCGAUGAGUAUGACAACCGGCAGGAGCCAUAGGAGUUGUCUUUAUUUAUUGUAUGACCUGCGUGUCACUGAAUAACGCCAUGUAAUUACUUUACUUCAUUUCUAAACCGUUAGCCAUAGUAGUAGAAGUAAUAGUUGGCGAGACAACUUCAUGGAGACACGAUGAUGGAGAUCAUGAUGAUGGAGAUCAUGGUGUCAUGCCGGUGAUGAUGAUGAUCAUGGAGCCCCGAAGAUGGAGAUCAGAAGGAGCAAAAUGAUAUUGGCCAUAUCAUGUCACUUUUUGAUUGCAUGUGAUGUUUAUCAUGUUUAUGCAUCUUAUUUGCUUAGAACGACAGUAGUAAAUAAGAUGAUCCCUCAUAAUAAUUUCAAGAAAGUGUUCCCCCUAACUAUGCACCUUGCGAAAGUUCGUUGUUUCGAAGCACCACAUGAUGAUCGGGUGUGAUAGAUUCUAACAUUCACAUACAACGGAUGUAAGCCAGAUUUACACAUGCAAAACACUUAGGUUGACUUGACGAGCCUAGGAUGUAUAGACAUGGCCUCGGAACACAAGAGACCUAAAGGUUGAACAUGAGUCGUAUAGUGGAUACGAUAAACAUGAAGAUGUUCACCGAUGAUGACUAGUCCGUCUCACGUGAUGAUCGGACACGGCCUAGUUGACUCAGAUCAUGUAUCACUUAGAUGACUAGAGGGAUGUCUAUCUGAGUGGGUGUUCAUAAGAUGAACUUAAUUAUCCUGAACAUAGUCAAAAGGUUUUUGCAAAGUAUGUUGUAGCUCGCGCUUUAGUUCUACUGUUUUAGAUAUGUUCCUAGAGAAAAUUUAGUUGAAAGUUGAUAGUAGCAAUUAUGCGGACUGGGUCCGUAAACUGAGGAUUGUCCUCAUUGCUGCGUAGAAGGCUUAUGUCCUUAAUGCACCACUCGGUGUGCUGAACCUCGAACGUCGUCUGUGGAUGUUGCAAACAUUUUACAUACACGUUUUGAUAACUACGUGAUAGUUCAGUAAUGUUAAACGGUUUAGAAUUGAGGCACCGAAGACGAUUUCGAAAUGUCGCGGAACAUAUGAGAUGUUUCAAGGGCUGAAAUUGGGAUUUCAGGCUCGUGCCCACGUCAAGAGGUAUAAGACCUCCGACGAGUUUCUUAGCCUACAAACUAAGGGAGAAAAGCUCAAUCGUUGAACUUGUACUCAGAUUGUCUGGGCACAACAAUCACUUGAAUCGAGUGGGAGUUAAUCUUCCAGAUGAGAUAGAGAUGUUUCUCCAAAGACAUUGCCACCAAGCUACUAGAGCUUCGUAAUGAACUAUAACAUAUCAGGGAUAGAUAUGAUGAUCCUUGGAAUAUUCGCGAUGUUUGACACCGUGAAAGUAGAAAUCAAGAAGGAGCAUCAAUUGUUGAUGGUUAGUGAAACCACUAGUUUCAAGAAGGGCAAGGGCAAGAAGGGGUACUUCAUGAAAUGGCAAAUCAGUUGCUGCUCCAGUGAAGAAACCCAAGGUUGAACCCAAACCCGAGACUAAGUGCUUAUGUAAUGAGGGAACGGUCACUGAAGCAGAACUACCCUAGAUACUUGGUAGAUGAGAAGGCUGGCAUGGUUGACAGAAGUAUAUUGGAUAUACAUUGUAAUAAAUGUGUACUUUACUAGUACUCCUAGUAGCACCAGGGUAUUAAGAUACCGGUUCGGUUACUAAGUGUUAGUAACUCGAAAUAAAAGAGCUACGGAAUAAACGGAGACUAGCUAAAGGUGAGAUGACGAUGUGUGUUGGAAGUGUUUCCAAGGUUGAUGUGAUCAAGCAUCGCCUGCUCCCUCUACCAUCGAGAUUGGUGUUAAACCUAAAUAAUUGUUAUUUGGUGUUUGCGUUGAGCAUAGACAUGAUUGGAUUAUGUCUAUCGCAAUACGGUUAUUCAUUUAAGGAGAAUAAUGGUUACUCUAUUUAUUUGAAUAAUACCUUCAAUGGUCUUGCACCUAAAAGAAUGGUUUAUUGAAUCUCGAUCAUAGUGAUACACAUGUUCAUGCCAAAAGAUAUAAUAUAGUAAUGAUAGUACCACCUGCUUGUGGCACUGCCAUUUGAGUCAUAUUGGUAUAAAACACAUGCAGAAGCUCCAUGUUGAUGGAUCUUUGGACUCACUCGUUUUUGAAAAGUUUGAGACAUGCGAACCAUGUCUAUUGGUAUGUACGCAUGAAGAAACUCCAUGCAGAUGGAUCGUUUGGACUCACUUGAUUCUAAAUCACUUGAGACAUGCAAAUCAUACCAGAUGGGCAAGAUGACUGAAAAGCCUCGUUUUCAGUAAGAUGGAACAAGAGAGCAACUUGUUGGAAGUAAUACAUUUUGAUGUGUGCUGUCCAAUGAGUGCUGAGGCACACAGUGGAUAUUGUUAUGUUCUUACUUCACAGAUGACUUGAGUAGAUGCUGAGUAUAUUUACUUGAUGAAACAUAAGUCUGAAUUAUUGAAAGGUUCAAGUAAUUUCAGAGUGAAGUUGAAGAUCAUCGUGACAAGAGGAUAAAAUGUCUAAGAUAUGAUCAUAAGAGAUGAAUACCUGAGUUACGAGUUUGGUGCACAAUUAAGACCUUGUGGAAAUUGUUUCACAACUAAUACCGCCUAGAACACCAUAGUGUGAUGGUGUGUCCGAACAUCAUAGCAGCACCCUAUUGGAUAUGGUGCAUACCAUGAUGUCUCUUAUGGAAUUACCACUAUCGUUCAUGGGUUAGGCAUUAGAGACAACCACAUUCACUUUAAAUAGGGCACCACAUAAUUCCGUUGAGAUGACACCAUAUGAACUAUGGUUUAGAGAAACCUAAGCUGUCAUUUCUUGAAAGUUUGGGGCUGCGACGCUUAUGUGAAAAAGUUUCAUCCUGAUAAGCUCGAACCCAAAGCGGAUAAAUACAUCUUCAUAGGACACCCAAAAAUAGUUGGGUAUACCUCCUAAUUCAGACCCGGAAGCAAAAGUGAUUGUUUCUAGAAAUUGGUCCUUUCUCGAGGAAAAGUUUCUCUCAAAAAAAUUGAGUGGGAGGAUGGUGGAGACUUGAUGAGGUUAUUGAACCAUCACUUCAACCAGUGUGUAGCUGGGCACAGGAAUUUGUUCCUGUGGCACCUGCACCAAUUGAAGUGGAAGUUGAUGAUAGUGAUCAUGAAACUUCAGAUCAAGUCACUACCAAACCUCGUAGGACGACAAGGACAGGUACUGCUUCAGAGUGGUACGGUAAUCCUGUCUUGGAGGUCAUGUUGCUAGACAACAAUGAACCUAUGAGCUAUGGAGAAGCGAUGGUGGGCCCGGAUUCCGACAAAUGGCUCGAGGCCAUAAAAUCCGAGAGAGGAUCCAUGUAUGAAAACAAAGUAUAGACUUUGGAAGAACUACUUGAUGGUCGUAAGGCUGUUGGGUACAGAUGGAUUUUAAAAGGAAGCCGAACAAUGAUGGUAAGUAUCACCAUUACGAAAGCUCGACUUGUCGUUAAGAUGUUUUCCGACAAGUUCAAGGAGUUGACUAUGAUGAGACUUUCUCACUCGUAGCGAUGCUAAGAGUCUGUUGGAAUUAUAUUAGCAAUUACUGCAUGAUUUAUGAAAUCUUGCAGAUAGGAUGUCAAAACAUUGUUUCCACGACGAUAUUCUUGAGGAAAGGUUGUAUGUGAUACAACCAGAAGGUUUUGUCAAAUCCCGAAAGAUGCUAACAAGUGUGCAAAGCUCCAACAAUCCUUCUAAGGACUGGAGUAAGCAUCUCGGAGUUGGAAUAUACACUUUGAUGAGAUGAUCAAAGAUUUCGGGUUUAUACAAAGUUUAUGAGAAACUUGUAUUUCCAAAGAAGUGAGUGGGAGCACUAUAGCAUUUCUGAUGCGUAUAUGUUGUUGACAUAUUGUUGAUCGGAAAUGAUGUAGAACUUCUGGAAAGCAUAUAGGGUUAUUUGAAAAUUGUUUUUCAAUGGAAAACCUGGAUUAAGCUACUUAAACAUUGAACAUCAAGAUCUAUAAGGAUAGAUCAAAAUGCUUAAUAGUACUUUCAAAUGAGUACAUACUAUGACAAGAUUUUGAAGGAGUUCAAAAUAGAUCAGCAAAGAAGGAGUUCUUGGCUGUGUUAUAUGGUGUGAGUAUUGAGUAAGACUCAAGACAUGACCGCAGAAGAGAGAGAAAGGACGAAGGUCGUCCCCUAUGCUUCAGACGUAGGCUCUAUAGUAUGCUAUGCUGUGUACCGCACCAGAAGUGUGCCUUGCCAUGAGUCAGUCAAGGGGUACAAGAGUGAUCCAGGAAUGGAUCACAGGACAACGGUCAAACCUAUCCUUAGUAACUAGUGGACUAAGGAAUUUUCUUGAUUAUGGAGGUGGUAAAAGAGUUCGUCGUAAAGGGUUACGCUGAUGCAAACUUUGACACUAAUCCGGAUUAUUCUAAGUAGUAAACCGGAUUCGUAUAGUAGAACAGUUAUUUGGAAUAGCUCCAAAUAGAGCGUGGUAGCUGCAUCUAGGAGAUGACAUAGAGAUCCGUUGACAUAGAGCAAAGCACACACGGAUCUGAAAGGUUCAGAUCCAUUGACUAAUAACCUCUCUCACACGCGACAUAUGAUCAAACUCCAUGGGUGUCGAUUCAUUACAAUCACAUUGUGAUGUGAACUAGAUUAUUGACUCUAGUGCAAGUGGGAGACUGUUGGAAAUAUGCCCUUGAGGCAAUAAUAAAAUGGUUAUUAUUGUAUUUCCUUGUUCAUGAUAAUUGUCUAUUAUUCAUGCUAUAAUUGCAUUGACCGGAAACCGCAAUACAUGUGUGAAUACAUAGACCACAACAUGUCCCUAGUGAGCUUCUAGUUGACUAGCUCGUUGAUCAACAGAUGGUCAUGGUUUCCUGACCAUGGACAUUGGAUGUCAUUGAUAACGGGAUCACAUCAUUAGGAGAAUGAUGUGAUGGACAAGACCCAAUCCUAAGCCUAGCACAAGAUCGUGUAGUUCGUAUGCUAAAGCUUUUCUAAAUGUCAAGUAUCUUUUCCUUAGACCAUGAGAUUGUGCAACUCCCGGAUACCGUAGGAAUGCUUUGGGUGUACCAAACAUCACAACAUAACUGGGUGGCUAUAAACAUGCACUACGGGUAUCUCUGAAAGUGUCUGUUGGGCUGGCACGAAUCGAGACUGUGAUUUGUCACCCCGUGUGACGGAGAGGUAUCUCUGGGCCCACUCGGUAGGAAAUCAUCAUAAUGUGCACAAUGUGAUCAAGGAGUUGAUCACGGGAUGAUGUGUUACGAAAUGAGUAAAGAGACUUGCCGGUAACGAGAUUGAACAAGUUAUCGGCAUACCGACGAUCGAAUCUCGGGCAAGUACUAUACGGUAGACAAAGGGAAUUUUGUACGGGAUUGAUUGAAUCCUUGACAUCAUGGUUCAUCCGAUGAGAUCAUCGUGGAACAUGUGGGAGCCAACAUGGGUAUCCAGAUCCCGCUGUUGGUUAUUGGCCGGAGAGUUGUCUCGGUCAUGUCUGCAUGGUUCCCAAACCCGUAGGGUCUACACACUUAAGGUUCAGUGACGCUAGGGUUAUAGGGAAGGUAUGUAUGCGGUUAACGAAUGUUGUUCGGAGUCCCGGAUGAGAUCCCGAACGUCGCGAGGAGUCCCAGAAUGGUCCGCAGGUGAAGCUUGAUAUAUUGGACGAAGGGUUUUGGAGUCCGGAAGUGUUCCGGAGGUACCGGGUGAUGAUCAGCAUGACCAAAAGGUGUUUCGGGAGCCCCGACAAGUGUUGGGGGGCUUCAUGGGCCAAGGGGAGGGGGCAAACCAGCCCACUAAGGGGUUGUGCUCCCCCCUCACAUAUUCCCACGUGACCAGGGGGUUUGGGGCGCCCCAUCUAGGGUUCCCACCUCCUGGCUUGGGGGCCAAGUCACCCAAAGGGGAGAUCCCAUCUGCCCUGGCCGUCGCCCCCCUAGGGGAAACCCUAGGGCGCCUCCCCCUCUCCCUUCCCCCUAUAUAUAGUGGAGGUUUUGGGGCUGCCCAACACAUGAGUCUUUCUCUCCCAAGGCGCAGCCCUACCUCUCUCCCUCCUCGUCUCUCGUAGUGCUUGGCGAAGCCCUGCUGGAGUACCGCGCUCCUCCACCACCACCACGCCGUCAUGCUGCUGCUGGAUGGAGUCUUCCCCAACCUCUCCCUCUCUCCUUGCUGGAUCAAGGCAUGGGAGACGUCACCGGGCUGCACGUGUGUUGAACACGGAUGCACCGUUGUUCGGCGCUUAGAUCGGAAUCGUCCGCGAUCUGAAUCGCCACGAGUACGACUACCUCAUCUGCGUUCUUGCAACGCUUCCGCUUAGCGAUCUACAAGGGUAUGUAGAUGCACUCCCCUUCCCCUCGUUGCUAGAUUACUCCAUAGAUUGAUCUUGGUGAUUCAUAGAAAAUUUUGAAUUUCUGCUACGUUCCCCAACAGCUAUCCCGUGCGAUACGCACGCAGCCGCCAGCCCCACGACGUGGGCCGGUUUCCCAACAAGGGUAACCCUUGUAAAGGUUACUCACACAUUCUUUGAUGGUGAUAAGUGACGUAUUGCAUAUGUGAUACUUGUCACAAUUAGAAGUUUUGGGUUUUUCUUCAUAUAUUUAAUAUUUUUUUCUUGAGCCACACAUCUAAAUCUCGAAUCGUUUUCAUAAGUGGGUUUCUCGAACCAUUUUCAUAAGUGGGUUUCUUGCAUUGAGAUUUCAGAGACAAAAUCCCAUGUUAACAGGUUCAACCGAUUUUUUUUCUUGAAAAUACCACGGGAAGAAGAAGAAAAACAUAAAUAAAAAUAGGGAAGCACACUUCAGGCACAUGUGUGCUUCACGCUGCCCCCCAAAAGGGCAAAAGGCCGAAAAGAAAAAAGAAAAACAGAAGCAUAGUUGAAUUUUUCUUUUGAAUUCCACAAAAAAAGAGUUUUUCUUUUGAAAACACAUUUGUGUUUUUCACUUUUCAUGAAGCACACAUGUGCUUUCCAUUUUCCGAAAAAGCACAAAAGGUGUGCUUCAUGCGGGUGCACAACUACGUAUCACCACGAAACACACUUGUUUUCACUUACCGAAAAGUACAGGUGUGCUAACGCGUAAGCUAUGCUUUUCACUUUUGAGAAAACAUAGUUGUGCUUGUCGCGAAAGCACAUCUAUGAGAAGCGUAGCUGUGUUUUUUCACUUUCAGAAAGCAUAGUGGCAAGUUCAUGUGAAAGCACAAAUAUGUUUCACACCUAUGUCUUUUACACAACGUGCUUCAUGCAAGAAAUCCAACAUAAAUAAAUAAACAGAAUCAAAUUAUAUUUUUAGGAAACCUAGGAAAAAUCACGAAAUAUUCAAAACCCCCACAAAAUCUAAAAAACCAAACACAUGCAUGAAUUAAAAAUUGUUUCCUGUGGGUGUGCACAACUAGCCACACAUGGUGGCGGUUGGGCACACCAGCGCGGCGCACCCCCGCGCGCCCGCCUGCGGCACCCUACCCGUAGGGGAAAACACAUAAGAGAGCUUGUAUAACGCCUCAGAUCACAUCAAACGGAUUCAGAGAAGACAAUUCUCACAUGCACCUGGCGAGGCCGAAGCUGGCCGAUCUUCGUCGGUCUGAACUGGACCUGGAGGACCAAAAGCACAACCGCAUCAUACACUCCGAAGGGCAGUGCCGUCGAGACAAAUCUAUAAAAGAAGAAACCUAGGAUAAAUCACACUCCACGGCAAUGAUGGCAAGAAGUACCACUUCAACAUGGACGACACAUGGAUUACUUAUUCCAUGCCAACAAUGGUGCCAUCGCCUAACCACCGAUGAGUAGGGACCAAAACCUGGACUACAAACUUCAACCUACUAACACUGGUCUGAUACCAACUUGUACACUACAUGAAUCAGGUAAUUUGUCAUCUCUGGACCUCUUUGCCGCCAGCUUUUCAUCGGGGAAGACGGAAAAGACCAAAUUUACCGUCGGCUGCUAACGGCAAAGAACAGUUGACGACAAAAUACCGGAAAAACUGACGGCAAAGCCCCAUUGUCGUUUGUGCUGCUGCAGGCUGAUGGAAAAGCCCCAUUAUCGGUAGUGAAACAGACAGACCUCAGGGUAGGGGGUCCCGAGCUGUGGAUCUCGGAUCUAUGGGUAACAGGGGACGAAGUAGACAUUAUUUACCCGGAUCGGCCCCCUCGAAGAGGUAAUACCCUACGUCCUGCUUGAUUAUAUUGAUGGUGAUAUAUCGAGUACAUGCUUGAUCUACCUCGAGAUUGCAAGUAGUGUUCUAACCCUAACGCUAGGUGGUUGUAAUUGUGACCCUCCCUCUAUGGACUAGACCUCCCAGUUUACAUAGACACUAGGGUACCUUAGCUUACAAAUGGCCGGUUGCCAAUCUAGUAUCACAUGCGCCGCCCAGCCGAUGUAGGUCUUGGAGUACACGUCAAGUCUUCGGUAGAGUCCAUCUUAAUCGCGCUGAAGUAUGAGGCUUCCAGACUCCUUUCUUAGAAAUGGUGGGCCAUAAGCUCGGCCCAUGGACUGUGGGCCGACUAGGUCGGUACCCCCUAGUCCAAGCCCAUCCCGACUAUCAUAAAUUAAAAUAAAACAGAUCCUUCACGGUCACUACACAUAUACUUGUGCUAUGUUCCUUUGUUAAUUGCCAUGGAGCCAAAGAUAACUAUCGUGAUACAAAUUCCUUAACACUAUACCCGGCUAUCAACCAGGGGCUUGGAUUUAACCCAACGCUCACAUAAAAGUCCAAACAGAUUGUUUGAUGUCUUGGAUGUUGCAUUGUAUGAAUCAAUUUUGAACAUGAUUUUGGUUAAUAGUUGGGUUGCCCGACUGUCGGUGUACAAAAGUAUGGGUACUUCUGUACCCCUUACUUGUGCACGGACGAUCGCAGCCACCCCUACAGCAAGGCUUGGCAGGGCAGAGGAAGACAUCAGAAGGCAAGACAAGUACAAAGAAUAUCAAGACAGAUGCCCGGAGUAGCAAGUAGCAAGAGGCAAGCAGGGCCACGCCCGGCAACAAGCCUUGCCGAGAAACCUGCGCGGCCCCCGGCAAGCCCCUUGCCGGGGCACCUUGCGAAGAGACCAGCAAGGCCACCACCCUUGGGCUUGAGAGCUCUAACACCAUCGGCAAUAUUAAAGAUCAAGAUUUGAAGAGCACAUGCAUGGUAGCAUGCGGCUCCUCACGAAGAUCGACAACCCACGGGUCCACGUGGGGUCAAAUGAUGAAGACCCCCGGCAAGACCCUUGCCGAGGACGACUCCAAGGCCCCUGGCAAGCCUUGCCAGGGACGAUCGCUAGGCCGCAGCCAGGCCCACGCUCGGCAGGGUUCCUCCACCUCACCACCACUCCAACACGGCGAUGAUCGUGCCAACGAAGCAGGUGCGUGCGUGGCAGCAUGCAGAUCUUCGUGGAAGCCUAUCGCUUUGCCAACACAACAGCUGGUUGGCCAGCGUGGCACUGCAUACCUCAUCGACCCAGACGCGUGGCAAGGCGAGGGGAAGCGACGAAGGACGGGAUGGCCUCUGUUGCCAUCCCCAAUAAAGCGAGAGGAAACGUAUGUGUCACAUUAAAUGCGCUUGUCUUAUGCUAAUCGAGCGAUAAGCUCAGACCACUGUAGAUUGCCACCUCAUGUGUGCCACUGUGGCAACCCCUUUGUGUACAAAAGGAGGCCCGAGGCACAGAGAGAGAGAGCGGAUUCGGACUUUUGAACAAGGCACAUACUGUAGCUAGUUCAAAAGCUUAAGAACACUCAGAUAACCAGAUAAAGCAGGACUAGGGUAUUAUGCAUCUCCGCGGCCCAAACCUGGAUAAAAACCCUAUGUGUGCUAACAACUCGACCUGCUCUCCGUGCAACCAAUCCCUCGCCGAAUGUAGAAGGGAUCCUAGUGACCCCAUAGGUGAUCGGUUUCCCCGACACCGAUUCUUGUGCUUACCUCUUACGUUCUACUCUGUUUGACUAAGAGUGUAAUGGGAGAACCACUGUGCUACUUGUGAGCUGUGUUGGGAUUUCCUCGAAGAGGAGAGGAUGAUGCAAUAUAGUACAAAUAAGUAUUUCCCUUAGUUAUGAAACCAAGCUUAUCAAUCCAGUCGGAGAACCAAACAACACUAUGUAAACAACACCUGCAGGCAAACAACAAAUACUUACAACCCAAUGCGUAUAGGGGUUGCCAAUCCCUCAACCGUUACGAGCGAGAUUAAACGAUAUAGUUAUUGAUAGAUAGGCCAAACAAAAAUACAAACUAAAAUAAAUAAAAUAAAAAUACAGCAAGGUAUUUUUGGUUUUAAUAUAUGAUAGAAAAUAUACCCGGGGCGAUAAUUUUCACUAGAGGUUUCUCUCAUAAAAAUAGUAUACGGUGGGUAGACAAAUUACUAUUGGACAAUUGACAGAAAAGCUAAUAAUUAUGACGAUAACCAACACAAUGAUCAUGUAUAUAGGCAUCACGUCUGAGACAAGUAGACCGAAACAAUUCUGCAUCUACUACUAUUACUCCACACAUCGUCCGCUAUCCAGCAUUGCAUCUAGUGUAUUAAGUUCAUGGAAGAACGGAGUAACGCCUUAAUCAAGAUGACAUGAUGUAGACAAGAUAAACUCAUGUAUGAAAUAGAUCCCAUCUUUUUAACCUUAAUAACAACGAUACAUGUGUGUCAUGUCCCUUUCUAUCACUGGGAUUGAGCAUCACAAGAUCGAACCCAUCACAAAGCACCUCUUCCCAUGGCAAGAUAAAUCAAUCUAGUUGGCCAACCCAUACCAAUAAAUAGGAUAAAAAAUACGGGGCUAUAACAAUCAUGCAUAAAAGAGUUUAGAGAAAACUCAAAUAAUAUUCAUGGAUAGAUCUGAUCAUAAAAUCACAAUUCAUCAGAUUCCAACAAACACACCGCAAAAAGUCAUUACAUCUAAUAGAUCUCCAAGAACACCGAGGAGAACAUUGUAUUGAAGAGCAAAAAGAGAGAAGAAGUCAUCUAGCUACUAACUAUGGACCAAUAUAUAGGUCCGUGGUAAACUACUCAUGCAUCAUCGGAGGGCAGCAAAGAUGAUGAAGAGCCCACUCCAUGAUCUAAUACCCCUCUGACAGAGUGCCAUAAAAGGCCUCUAGAUGGGAUCUCGUGGUUCUGGAAAUUGCGGUGGCUGAAAAAGCAUUUCGUGGACUCCUCUGUUGGUUCUACGAUUUUAGAGAAUUUAGAGAGGCGGAGCUAGGUCAAACGGAGCCUCAUGGGCGGCACCACCCAUCAGGGCGCGCUUACGCGCAUGUGCGCACCCUAGUGGGUGGUGGGCCCAUGCUCCCACGUCUAGUUUUCUCCUGAAGCUUCUAGUGUCUCUUUUGUCUAGAAAAAUCUCCAAAAUGUUUCAUGGUAUUUGGACUUUGUUUGGUAAUGGUAUUCUACGAAACCAAAAGCAAGCAAAAAACAACAACUCGCACUGGGCACUAAGUUAAUAGGUUAGCCCAAAAAAUGAUAUUAAUUGCUUGUAUGUGUAUACAAAACAUCCAAGGUUGAUAAUAGAAUAUCAUGGGAAAAUAAAAAAUUAUAUAUACGUUGCUGACGUAUCACACUACGAUUGUGCUUCCAGAUUGGAUGGUAAAGCGCCCCAGUGGAGAAAGCUGAAGACCGAGUGUGCUGGUAUGUGUAAACUGAUCGGUGAUCCGAUAACAUUGUCUAACAUAAGAUCGUUUUGGAGAUCUUACGUGUCAAACAAGGGGAUUUUAUUAGAAAUAGCCGAAGUGUGUGGCAGUUUAGACCUCGGCCACAACCGAACGACUCACACACCGGGGGCUACUAACUAGCUCCCACAGUCAAGCUCCUACAACUAAGUGAAAAUUAUAAAGCAAUCAUAGUACUAUUGCCUAGUUUUCAUAUUCAUGGACCGCAUGAGGGAACCGAGACGUAGAUUAAGGGUUAAAUUUCUAUGGAAACUCCCUUUGUACUUUGUACAAAGGGGGUGAAAGCUAACGGCAACCUGAUGUCUACUAUGCAACCUUCUUCUUGUAGACGUUGUUGGGCCUCCAAGUGCAGAGGUUUGUAGGACAGUAGCAAAUUUCCCUCAAGUUGAUGACCUAAGGUUUAUCAAUCCGUGGGAGGCAUAUGAUGAAGAUGGUCUCUCUCAAACAACGCUGCAACCAAAUAACAAAGAGUCUCCUGUGUCCCCAACACACCCAAUACAAUGGUAAAUUGUAUAGGUGCACUAGUUCAUCGAAGAUAUGGUGAGACAAGUGCAAUAUGGAUGGUAUAUAAAAGGUUUUUCUAAUCUAAAAUUAUAAAAACAACAAGGUAACAAGUGGUAAAAGUGAGCGAAAACGGUAUUGCAAUGCUUCGAAACAAGGCCUAGGGUUCAUACUUUCACUAGUGCAAGUUCUCUCAACAAUAAUAACAUAAUUAGAUCAUAUAACAAUCCCUCAACAUGCAACAAAGAGUCACUCCAAAGUCACUAAUAGCGGAGAACAAAUGAAGAGAUUAUUGUAGGGUACAAAACCACCUCAAAGUUAUUCUUCCCGAUCAAUCCAUUGGCUAUUCUUAUAAGUGUCACAAACAACCCUAGAGUUCAUAAUAAAAUAACACCUUAAGACACACAUCAACCAAAACCCUAAUGUCACCUAGAUACUGCAAUGUGAGCACAAGUAUCCGCGGGUAUGAUUAUAUGAUAUGCAUCACACAAUCUAAGGUUCAUCUAUUCAAACCAACACAAAGUACUUCAUAGAGUGCCCCAAAGUUUCUACCGGAGAGUCAAGACGAAAACGUGUGCCAACCCCUAUGCAUAGAUUCCCAAGGUCAUGGAACCCGCAAGUUGAUCACCAAAAAAUACGUCAAAUGGAUCAAUAGAAUACCCCAUUGUCACCACGUGUAUCCCAUGCUAGACAUACAUCAAGUGUUCUCAAAUCCUUAAAGACUCAAUCCAAUAAGAUAACUUGAAAGGGAAAACUCAAUCCAUUACAAGAAGGUAGAGGGGGAGAAACAUCAUAAGAUCCAACUAUAAUAGCAAAACUCAUGAUACAUCAAGAUUGUGCCAUAUCAAGAAUACGAGAGGGAGAGAUCGAACACAUAGCUACUGGUACAUACCCUCAGCCUCGAGGGUGAACUACUCCCUCCUCGUCAUGGAGAGUGCCGGGAAGAUGAAGAUGGCCACCGGUAAUGGAUCCCCCCUCCGGCAGGGUGCCGGGACAGGGCCCCGAUUGGUUUUUGGUGGCUACAGAGGCUUACAAUGGUGGAACUCCCAAUCUAGGUUAUGUUAUAGAGAUUUGGGGAUUUAUAGGAGAGGUUGGCGUCGAGAACAAGUCAGGGGGCCCCACAAGGAGUCCACGAGGCAGGGGCGCACCCUAGGGGGGCGCCCUCCACCAUCGUGGGGCCCAUGGGACUCCCUUCUGAUAACUCUUUGUUCCAGUAUUUUUUUAUAUUUUCCAGAAAAAUAUCCAUUGAUUUUCGGCGCAUUCCGAGAACUUUUAUUUCUGCACAAAAACAAUACCAUGGUAGUUCUGCUGAAAACAACGCCAGUUCGGGUUAGUUCUAACCAAAUCAUACCAAAAUCAUGUAAAAAUAUUGUAAACAUGGCAUGAAUACAUAAAAAAUUAUAGAUAAGUUGGAGACGUAUCAAGCAUCCCCAAGCUUAAUUCCUGCUUGUCCUCGAGUAGGUAAAUGAUAGAAACAUAAUUUUUGAUGUGGAAUGCUACCUAACAUAUUUAUCAAUGUAAUCUUCUUUAUUGUGGCAAGAAUAUUCAGGUUCAUAAGAUUCAAAACAAAAGAUGAAUAUUGACAUAAAAAACGAUAAUACUUCAAGCAUACUAAUAAAGCAAUCAUGUCUUCUCAAAAUAACAUGGCCAAAGAAAGCUAUCCCUACAAAAUCAUAUAGUCUGGAUAUGCUCUAUCUUCGUCACACAAAAUAUUUAAAUCAUGCACAACCCCGAUGACAAGCCAAGCAACUAUUUCAUACUUUUGCUGUUCUCAAACUUUUUCAAUCUUCACGCAAUACAUGAGCGUGAGCCAUGGAUAUAACACUAUAGGUGGAAUAGAAUGGUGGUUGUGGAGAAGACAAAAAGAAGGAGAUAGUCUCACAUCAACUAGGCGUAUCAACGGUCUAUGGAGAUGCACAUCAAUAGAUAUCAAUGUGAGUGAGUAGGGAUUGCGAUGCAACAGAUGCACUGGAGCUAUAAGUGUAUGAAAGCUAAAAAAGAAACUAAGUGGGUGUGCAUCCAACUUGCUUGCUCAUGAAGACCUAGGGCAAUUUGAGGAAGCCCAUCAUUGGAAUAUACAUGCCUAGUUCUAUAAUGAAAAAUUCCCACCAGUAUAUGAAAGUGACAACAUAGGAUACUCUUUAUCAUGAAGAUCAUGGUGCUACUUUGAAGCACAAGUGUGGUAAAAGGAUAGUAGCAUUGCCCCUUCUCUCUUUUUCUCUCAUUUUUUUGUUUUUUGUUUUUUUGGGCCUCUUUUUUUUCAUCCGGAGUCUCAUCCCGACUUGUGGGGGAAUCAUAGGCUCCAUCAUCCUUUCCUCACUGGGACAAUGCUCUAAUAAUGAAGAUCAUCACACUUUUAAUUACCUACAAUUCAAGAAUUAUAGCUCGAUACUUAGAACAAAAUAUGACUCUAUCUGAAUGCCUCUGGCGGUGUACCGGGAUGUGCAAUGACUCAUUAGUGACAUGUAUGAGAAAAUCAUGAAAGGUGGCUUUGCCACAAAUAUGAUGCAACGACAUGAUCAUGCAAAGCAAAAUGACAAUGAUGAAUUGUGUCAUAAUAAACGGAAUGGUGGAAAGUUGCAUGUCAAUAUAUCUAAGAAUGGCUAUGGAAAUGCCAUAAUAGGUAGGUAUGGUGGCUGUUUUGAGGAAGGUAUAUGGUGGGUGUAUGGUACCUGUGAAAGUUGCACGACACUAGAGAGGCUAGCAAUGGUGGAAGGGUGAGAGUGCAUAUAAUCCAUGGACUCAACAUUAUUCAUAAAGAACUCACAUACUUGUUGCAAAAAUCUAUUAGUCAUUGAAACAAAGUACUACGCGCAUGCUCCUAGGGGGAUAGAUUGGUAGGAAAAGACCAUCGCUCGUCCCCGACCGCCACUCAUAAGGAAGACAAUCAAUAAAUAAAGCAUGCUCCAACUUCAUCACAUAAUGGUUCACCAUACGUGCAUGCUACGGGAAUCACAAACUUUAACACAAGUAUCUCUCUAAUUCACAACUAAUCUAUUAACAUGACUCUCAUAUCACCAUCCUCAUAUCUCAAAACAAUCAUAAGGAAUCAUACUUCUCAUAGUAUUCAAUGCACUUCAUAUGAAAGUUUUUAUUAUAUCUCUCUUGGACUAAAUUCAUAACCAAAGAAAAUUACCAUGUUGUUUAAGAUUAUCAAAAUAAUAUAAGUGAAGCAUGAGAGUUCAUCAAUUUCUCCAAAAUGAAACCACCGUCAUGCUCUAAAAGGAUAUAAGUGAAGCACUAGAGCAAAUGACAAACUACUCCGAAAGAUAUAAGUGAAGAUCAAUGAGUAGUUGAAUAAUUAUGUAACUAUGUGAAGACUCUCUAACAUUUAAGAAUUUCAGAUCUCGGGAUAUUAUUCAAACAACAAGCAAAACAAAAUAAAAGAAAAUGACGCUCCAAGCAAAACACAUAUCAUGUGGUGAAUAAAAAUAUAGCUCCAAGUAAAAUUACCGAUAGACGAAGACGAAAGAGGGGAUGCCAUCCAGGGCAUCCCCAAGCUUAGGCUCUUGGUUGUCCUUGAAUAUUAUAUUCAGGUGCCUUGGGCAUCCCCAAGCUUAGGCUGUUUCCACUCCUUAUUCCAUAGUCCAUCGAAUCUUUACUCAAAACUUGAAAACUUCACAACACAAAACUCAACAGAAAACUCGUAAGCUCCGUUAGUAUAAGAAAAUAAAUCACCACUUUUGGUACUGUUGUAAACUAAUUCUAAAUUCAUAUUGGUGUUGUAUCUACUAUAUUCCAACUUCUCUAAGGUUAAUACCCUCCGAUACUACUCAUAGAUUCAUCAAAAUAAGCAAACAACACAAAGAAAACAGAAUCUGUCAAAAACAGAACAAUAUGUAGUAAUCUGUAACUCUUGAAUACUUCUGUAACUCCAAAAAUCCAACCAAAUUAGGAAAACCUGAGCAAUUUGUGUACCAAUACAUAGAAAAAAUAAUCAUAUCAAAAUCAUGUUUAUGCGAAUUAUCAAAACUAAUUUACUGGGUGGAAAAGUUUCUGAUUUUCAGCAGGAUCAACAUAACUAUCACCGUAAGCUAUCCCAAAGGUCUUACUUGGCACUUUAUUGAAACAAAAGCUAUAAAACAUGAUUACUACAGUAGCUUAAUCAUGUUAACUCACCAAAACAGUAGGGGUAAAUGUUGGGUUGUCCCCCAGCAAGCGCUUUUCUUUAAUGCCUUUUUAGCUAGGCAUGAGGAUUUCAAUGAUGCUCACAUAAAAGAUAUGAAUUGAAACACAAAGAGAGCACCAUGAAGACUAUGACUAGCACAUUUAAGUCUAACCCACUUCCUAUGCCUAGGGAUUUUGUGAGCAAACAACUUAUGGGAACAAGAAUCAACUAGCAUAGGAAAGGAAAACAAGCAUAACUUCAAGAUUUUCAACACAUAGAGAGGAAACUUGAUAUUAUUGCAAUUCCUAAAAGCAUAAAUUCCUCCCUCAUAAUAAUUUUCAGUAGCAUCAUGAAUGAAUUGAACAAUAUAACUAUCACAUAAAGCAUUAUUUUCAUGAUGCAUAGGCAUAUAAUUUUUAUUACUCUCCACAUAAGCAAAUUUAUUUUCAUGAAUAGUAGUGGGAGCAAACUCAACAAAAUAACUAUCAUGUGAGGCAUAAUCCAAUUGCAAAUUAAAAUCAAGAUGACAAGUUUCAUGGUUAUCAUUAAUCUUUAUAGCAUACAUGUCAUCACAAUAAUAAUCAUAGUUAGCAACUUUGUUCUCAUAAUCAAUUGGAACCUCUUCCAAAAUAGUGGAUUCAUCACUAAAUAAAGUCAUGACCUCUCCAAAUACACUUUCAUAAUUAUCACAAUAAGAUUCAACACCCUCCAAAAUAGUGGGAUCAAUACUACCUACAGUUGGCACUCUUCCAAACCCACUUUCAUCAAUAUAAUCAUCAUAAAUAGUUGGAAUGCUUUCAUCAUAAUAAAUAUUCUCAUCAAAACUUGGGGGACUAAAAAUAUCAUAUUCAUCAAACAUUGCAUCCCCAAGCUUGUGGCUUUGCAUAUCAUUAGCAUCAUGGAUAUUCAAGGAAUUCAUACUAACAACAUUUCAAUCAUGCUCAUCAUUCAAAAAUUUAGUGCCAAACAUUUUAUCGACUUCUUCUUCUAGCAUUUGAGCACAAUUUUCCUUUUCAUCAUUUUCGGGAAAGACAUUAAAAAGAUGAAGCAUAUGUGGCACCCUCAAUUCCAUUUUUUGUAGUUUUAUUAUAUAGACUAAACUAGUGAUAAAACAAUAAACUAAAAGAUUCAAUUGGAAGAUCUAAAGAUAUACCUUCAAGCACUAACCUCCCCGGCAACGACGCCAGAAAAGGGCUUGAUGUCUACUAUGCAACCUUCUUCUUGUAGACAUUGUUGGGCCUCCAAGUGCAGAGGUUUGUAGGACAGUAGCAAAUUUCCCUCAAGUGGAUGACCUAAGGUUUAUGAAUCCGUGGGAGGCGCAGGAUAAAGAUGGUCUCUCUCAAACAACCCUGCAACCAAAUAACAAAGAGUCUCUUGUGUCCCCAACACACCCAAUACAAUGGUAAAUUGUAUAGGUUCACUAGUUCGGCAAAGAGAUGGUGAUACAAGUGCAAUAUGGAUGGUACAUAAAAGGUUUUUGUAAUCUGAAAUUAUAAAAACAACAAGGUAACAAGUGUUAAAAGUGAGAGAAAAUGGUAUUGCAAGGCUUCCAAACAAGGCCUAGGGUUUAUACUUUCGCUAGUGCAAGUUCUCUCAAUAAUAAUAACAUAAUUAGAUCAUAUAACAAUCCCUUAACAUGCAACAAAGAGUCACUCCAAAGUCAAUAAUAGCGGCGAACAAACGAAGAGAUUAUUGUAGGGUACGAAACCACCUCAAAGUUAUUCUUUCCGAUCAAUCUAUUGGGCUAUUCCUAUAAGUGUCACAAACAGCCUUAUAGUUUGUAGUAAAAUAACACCUUAAGACACACAUCAACCAAAACCCUAAUGUCACCUAGAUACUCCAAUGUCACCACAAGUAUCCGCGGGUAUGAUUAUACGAUAUGCAUCACACAAUCUCAGAUUCAUCUAUUCAAACCAACACAAAGUACUUCAUAGAGUGCCCCAAAGUUUCUAUCGGAGAGUCAAGACGAAAAUGUGUGCCAACCCCUAUGCAUUGAUUCCCAAGGUCACGGAACCCACAAGUUGAACACCAAAACAUACAUCAAGUGGAUCAAUAGAAUACCCCAUAUUCACCACGGGUUUCCCACGCAGGACAUACAUCAAGUGUUCUCAAAUCCUUAAAGACUCAAUCCGAUAAGAUAACUUCAAAGGAAAAAAUCAAUCCAUUAUAAGAAGGUAGAGGGGGAGAAACAUCAUAAGAUCCAACUAUAAUAGAAAAGGUCGCGGUACAUCAAGAUCGUGACAUAUCAAGAAGACGAGAGAGAGAGAGAGAGAGAUCAAACACAUAGCUACUGGUACAUACCCUCAGCUCCGAGGGUGAACUACUCCCUCCUCGUCAUGGAGAGCGCCGGGAUGAUGAUGAUGGCCACCGGUGAUGGACCCCCCUCCGGCAGGGUGCCGAAAUAGGGUCCUGAUUGGUUUUUGGUGGCUAUAGAGGCUUGCGGCGGCGGAACUCCCUAUCUAGGUUAUGUUCUGGAGGUUUAGGAAUUUAUAGGAGAGGUUGGCGUCAAGAACAAGUCAAGAGGCCCCACAGGGAGUCCACGAGGCNNNNNNNNNNNNNNNNNNNNNNNNNNNNNNNNNNNNNNNNNNNNNNNNNNNNNNNNNNNNNNNNNNNNNNNNNNNNNNNNNNNNNNNNNNNNNNNNNNNNNNNNNNNNNNNNNNNNNNNNNNNNNNNNNNNNNNNNNNNNNNNNNNNNNNNNNNNNNNNNNNNNNNNNNNNNNNNNNNNNNNNNNNNNNNNNNGGGCCCACGGGACUCCCCUCCGGUAACUCUUCGUUCUAGUAUUUUUUAUAUUUUCCAGAAAAAAUCUCCGUUUAUUUUCAGCGCAUUCCGAGAACUUUUAUUUCUGAACAAAAACAACACCACGGUAGUUUUGCUGAAAACAUCAUUAGUCCGGGUUAGUUCUGAGAAAAUCAUACCAAAAUCAUGUAAAAAUAUUGUAAACAUGGCAUGAAUACAUCAAAAAUUAUAGAUACAUUGGAGACGUAUCACAACCCAUUUUCAAUAUCAACCACUCAAACAGGAGCAAAAAAAACAUCAGAACAUAAAGCCGAACUCAUUUAAAAACUUCGCCCCAAAAGCCUAUUCCCUUUAUGUUGUGGGGUUAACACGAAAAAUGCCCUAGUGAAAGGACUUAGGUGCGAGGCCAUCACUACGGUGAUUAGAUCAAAGUGGUUGAAUGGGAUGAAGGACAUGAAUUUACCCAAGUUCGGCCCCUCACGUGGAGGUAAAAGCCUACUCGUGCUCUUUGUUGCUACUUCUUGAGUAUCAUUUACAAGGGAGCGGAUUCGCUUAACCUAGCUAUCGAUUGAUUGUAACUUAAGUUUACCCGCCGCAGGGACUCACCUUUAUAUACACAGGUCGAGGCCCUGGGCUUACAAGAGUCCGGGUCGGGUUAUACUUCGUAACCGAUCCUUGCUCUAAGUCGCCUUGCCUUCUUUGGCAAGUCGCCGUCGGGCGGCUUACACCGCCGAGUCACGCAUCGUCUUCUGGUAUUGAGCCUUCAACCGAUCCACUCUGUAAGCCGCCUCCUGGCUCUGUGUCUUGGUCUCUUGGGCCUGUCUAGGUUUCAUUGUUAAGUCACCAAUAGUCUGACCCGGCCCUUCUAGGGUAGGUUAUAUCGUGGGCUCAUAUCCCCAACAUUAGGCCCCAGAUUGAUUUGAACUUGUUCAUGUUAAUCCUCAACACCUCUGGGUUGCGAGUCUUCUUUGGUUCUUAAGAACACUCAUCCUUUAAAUUAUCUUCAUAACCCGCCAUAUGAAGGGAUGAUGUCAUCUGCAUAAAUUAAGAAAAUUUCUCAUGACAUCACAACGUAUCUUUUGCAUUAAUCAACCAUUUCAAAAAUCGAGGUUUCCUUUUUGCUGUAGAAGUUAUCAUGCCUCCUCGAUUCUUGCACACACAUAUUACUGUGCCCUCUUUUCCUUAUAAAUAGCCAUGGGGGCCUGCCUUUUUCACUUUCCACCCCGUCGCCUCCGCUUCUUCUUCUUCCUCGCGAUGGAUGCUGCGACCGGAGCUCCGCCAUCCCCGUCGAGCUACGCCAGUCAACCCCAGCCAAGGUCGUCACAUCUGCUUGUCGCCGUCAGGAUCCAGUGACAUGCCGCCGCUCUGCUUCAUCUUAGUUCAUCCCCUUUUCCGAAAAGAGGCUAAUUUUGAUCCAAAAACACCAUCAGGAUGCUGUGGUAGUAGUUUUAGUACCAUCUCAAUAUUGAACAACCUAUAUUCCCUUCUAAAAUUGAUAGGUUGCUCGCUAGUUCUUCCAUCAUUACCUUUUAGGUUUAGCAAUUGUUUUUCUUUUUGAACUGCAUGUAUAUUCGUAAAUAUAGCUGUCAGUUCCGAAAUCUGUUUAUUCCAUACUUAGUAAAAUUCACCAAUCUUGAAAUUUAGAUAGCUGACCCACCCUUCACCUUUCGGGCGGUUUACCCAUGUAUUUGUAACAAAAUCUGGUGCCCCAUACUUAGACAACCCGCCAAUAUGCUGCCGGCUUAUACUUUCAUAAUUUAGCCCUCCAUAUUCUCAUAGCUUGAUAGUCACCUUACCCCCAUAGUUAGGGCGGCUCAUAAUUUCUUAAUAGCUCACCAUAACAUAUUUGUCGUCUUAUAUGCAUAACUGACCCAUUAUUGCUGAGAUAUCAUUUAGCCACUUAGGCGCCUUAUCCUUACAUUCUUAACCCGCCAUAACUUUAUUCCUUGCCUGCAGUUUUUAACCCGGCCAAUCAUGUCUAGAACUCCCACUUCUUGUGACCGGGUAGCCUCCCAAGUCUCAGAACUCAUGCUCAAUGAGUAUGUGUACAUGGGUGUUUUACCGGCUAAAAAUGUCAUCCACUGGUGGGUUCCUGGUCCUGAAACUAUCCCUGAGCCUAGAGAGGGCGAAGUUGUAGUUUUCAUAGAUCACCUCCUUCGUGGCUUUUCACCACCCAGGUCAAAAAAAUUCCAGGACGCUCUGCAUUUUUACAAGCUUCAUCCUCAAGAUAUUGGCCCCAACUGUGUCACCAAUCUGUGCCAAUUUCAAGUAUUUCGUGAAGUGUAUCUGCAAGAGGAGCCGACUAUUGAUCGCUUCAAAGACUUCUUUUACAUCACCGCCAAACUGAAAUGACAGACGGACUCAGUCUUGAGCUUGGAUGUGUUUCCAUUCAGAGGCGGAGAGAUGUAAAUUUCCCCUCAGCCAUACUGCCAAGUCAUCCCAAGGGCUAGAACAACACUUGGUUUUAUUGGCAAAACAAUGCUCUGGCUGAAGAAAACCCCUUGUCGGGUUAUCGUCCCUACCGGCUCAACACCAAUACCGAGAUUCCUGGUUGAUUAACCACCGCAGAGCGUGCUCAAUAUGCACACAUAUUUUCAAAGAUAAGGGCUUUGAUAGCCAAUGGCUUAACUCGAGUUGAUUUGACCUGCUGCUGGGACUCAUGGAGGAUCUUACCGUUGAGCCGGCGCGGUGGCUUAAUGUGUCAAUAUACUCAUGAUGUGAAGGACCUAUGACGAUACAACUAGAAACCUUUGUCAGACAAGGAGAUCAAUGAAAUGGUCAAGUCUUUGCUUGGGGAGUCUCAAGAAGCCUGCAAUAGGACAGAGAUGAAUCAUUUCUGCACUCUUAACCUAGCCCCGCCAGUAAGUACCUUGAAUAGACCUUUGUCUUGCUUAUCUAUUUGUACACUUCAUGCCUUUUAAAUUGCCGCCUCUUAUUAUAUAUAUACAGGCUGGUUCCACCUUCUAGAAAAAGAAGCUAACAACAACUCUAAUGGCUAACAAGAGUAAGCAGUGAAGCCUCAAGGUCCGGGUCGUCGUAAGAAACCGAGAGCAGAAGAGCUACUCCAGAUAGAUGAGUUGGAGGUAGAACUUGACUCCGUUGGUCUUCUUUUCAUGCAACUAAUUGAUGCCGAUUCCUCUCAGGACGAAGUGGAGACAAGCUGUGCCAACGAAGUAGAGGUAAUUACUGUCUCCUCUGACUCAGAACCCUUGCCAAGAAAGAAAACAAGGCGGUCAUCCGGAAAGUAAGAUUUUCUCACCCUCAUGCUUAUAUGGACCCCAACUUUCUUUUGAAGAAACAACAUCACGAGUCCAGGUGUCAGACUCGGAGUGGCGGCAUUGAAGAACUUGUGGCUGGCUUAUCCAACACGCCGGCUCCUCUGAAAUGUCGCAAUGAGGUGCCUCAUAGCCCAUCUCUAUCUCUUCCACGAGCUGGCCUCGUGCGGCAACCUCUUAACCCUUUUGACUCCGACUAUCAUGGAACACCUCCGUCAUCUGGCAACUCAACAGGAACAUAGCUUCCUACCUUCGUGGUUAACCCAGGGUAAAUGUUUACAUUUGUUGACAAAAACUUGUUGUCACAUACUCAUAAGCUUUUAUACUCUUGUCAUAGGGCCAAGGCCAAAACUGACAAGAAGAAAAAGGUGGGCGACUCUUCCAAGGCUCCCGAGGUCUUUGAGCCAGAGAAGCAAGUGUUGAAAACCCCUGAGGUCCCAAUCCAAAAUCCUUAAGACCCUGUCAAUCAGCAAAUUGAUCUGCCUCCGCAAACUAAGGGAUCACCUUCUGAGGUCAUGGAUACUGACGCUAACCCGGCAGACAACCAUGACCUGCCAAGUCCUAAGCCUUCCUCUCCUGCCAAAUCAACUGACAAGAGCCCUGUUGCUGACAAUGUUGAUGACAUUGCUAUCACCGGAUUAGCUUUUAAAGCGCCCAAAGCCUCCAAAGUGAUAGCAGAAAGCUCCAAAAGGUGUUAUAAAAUAUUUCUUUUCUUGGUCUUAGACUGCCAUCUUGAUCUGAUGAUAACUAGAAUAAGCAUCCAGGAAGCAUAAACUCUCACAACCCACCGUUGCAUAAAUGAUUUGGUUGAUACGAGGGAGAGCAAAUGGAUUAGCUGGACAAGCCUUGUUAAGAUCCGUGUAAUCAACACACAUACGCCAUGCGCCAUUUUUCUUAAGUACAAGCACAUGGUUAGCCAACCACUCAAGGUGAAAGACUUCCACGAUAAACCCGGCAACCAAGAGCCAGGUACCUCUUCUCCAAUAGCUUUACGUAGUUCUUCACUGAAACAACAGAGGAAUUGCUUGAUUGGCUUAACUUUGGGAUCCACAUUAAGAUGGUGCUCAACAAAUUCUCUCGGUACACCCAACAUGUCAGAAGGUUUCCAUGCAAAGAUGUCCCGGUUCUCACGGAUGAAUUCAAUGAGCAUGCUUUCCUAUUUGGGAUCCAUAUAAGCCCCCACAGUGAAAUGCUGAGAUGAGUCGCUAGGAACAAAUUCCACUUGCUUGGUAUCAUCAGCCGACUUAAAUUUCAACAGAGGGUCCUAUUCAGUGCUAGGCUUCUUCAUAGGGGUCAUAUCAGUUGGGUCAACAUUAUAUUUAUAAAACCUGAGCUCCUCAGUGGCACAAGCUGACUCUGGAUAAGCAGCAUCUCCUUCCUCGCACUCCAGGGCGAGUUUGCGGUUUCCAUGAAUAGUGAUUGUCCCUUUUGGCCCUGGCAUCUUAAGAUUCAAGUAAAUAUAACACGGGCGAGCCAUAAACCGAGCAUAAGCCGUCCGUCCAAAUAAAGCAUUGUUGGAAAUAUUCCCUAGAGGCAAUAAUAAAUUGGUUAUUAUUAUAUUUCCUUGGUCAUGAUAAUUGUCUAUUAUUCAUGCUAUAAUUAUAUUAACAAGAAACCGUAAUACAUGUGUGAAUACAUAGACCACAACAUGUCCCUAGUAAGCCUCUAGUUGACUAGCUCGUUGAUCAAUAGAUGGUUAUGGUUUCCUGACCAUGGACAUUGGAUGUCAUUGAUAACGGGAUCACAUCAUUAGGAGAAUGAUGUGAUGGACAAGACCCAAUCCUAAGCAUAACACAAGAUCGUGUAGUUCGUUUGCUAGAGCUUUUCUAAUGUCAAGUAUCAUUUCCUUAGACCAUGAGAUUGUGCAACUCCCGGAUACCAUAGGAAUGAUUUGGGUGUAUCAAACUUCACAACGUAACUGGGUGGCUAUAAAGAUGCACUACAGGUAUCUUCGAAAGUGUCUGUUGGGUUGGCACGAAUCAAGAAUUGGAUUUGUCACUCCGUAUGACGAAGAGGUAUCUCUGGGCCCACUCGGUAAUGCAUCAUCAUAAUGAGCUCAAUGUGACUAAUGAGUUAGCCACGGGAUCAUGCAUUACUGAACGAGUAAAGAGACUUGCCGGUUACAAGAUUUAACAAGGUAUAGGGAUACUGACGAUCAAAUCUCGGGCAAGUAACAUACCGAUGGACAAAGGGAAUUGUAUACGAGAUUGAUUGAAUCCCCGACAUCGUAGUUCAUCCGAUGAGAUCAUCGUGGAACAUGUGGGAGACAAUAUGGGUAUCCAGAUCCCGCUAUUGGUUAUUGGCCGAAAAGGUAUCUCGGUCAUGUCUGCAUGGUUUCCCGAACCCGUAGGGUCUACACACUUAAGGAUCGGUGACGCUAGAGUUGUUAUGGGAAUAGUAUGUGGUUACCAAAGGUUGUUAGGAGUCCCGGAUGGAUGCCAGACGUGACGAGGAGUUCCAGAAUGGUCCAAAGGUGAAGAUCCAUAUAUUGGACGAAGGGUAUUGGAGUCCGGAAGUGUUCCGAGGGUACCAGGCUAUGGCCAGCAUGACCGAAAGGUGUUUCGGGGGGCCCGACAAGUGUUGCAGGGCCUCAUGGGCCAAGGGGAGGGGGCAAACCAGCCCACUAAGGGGCUAUGCACCCCACACCCUUUCCCAUGUUGCUUGGGGAGGUGGGGUGCCUCCAGCUGACUUGGGAGGCAAGCCUCCACCUGCUUGGCUUGGGGGGCAAGUCUCCCUAGGGUUUCCCUAGGGAGAUCCAAUCUUCCCUGGCCGCUGCCCCCUAGGGGAAACCCUAGGGCGCCUCCCCCUCUUCCCUUCCCCCUAUAUAUAGUGAGGAGGUGGGAGGGCAGCCGUGACCCUUCCCCUGGCGCAGCCCCUCCCUCCUCCAACACCUCCUCCUCCUUCGUAGUGCUUGACGAAGCCCUGAAGGAGAACCACAAGCUCCACCACCACACCGUCGUGCUACCAGAGCUCUCCCUCAACUUCUCCUCUCCCCUUGCUGGAUCAAGGAGGAGACGUCCCCGGUCUGUACGUGUGUUGAACGCGGAGGCGCCGUCCGUUCGGUGCUAGAUUGGAUCUUCCGCGAUUUGAAUCGCCACAAGUACGACUCCAUCAACCGUGUUCUUGUAACGCUUCCGCUUAGCGACCUUCAAGGGUAUGAAGAUGCACUCCUGCUCUCUCUCUCUCGUUGCUAGUAUCUCCUAGAUUGAUCUUGGUGACACAUAGGAAAAUUUUGAAUUAUUACUACGUUCCCCAACAGUGGAAUCAUGAGCUAGGUCUAUGCAUAGAUUCUAUGCAUGAGUAGAACACAAGUAGUUGUGGGUGUUAGUUUGUUCAAUAUGCUUACCAUUACUAGUCCUAUCUUGAUUUGGCGGCAUUGUGGGAUGAAGAGGCCCGGACCGACCUUACACGCACGCUUAUGUGAGACAGGUUCCACCGACUGACAUGCACUUGUUGCAUAAGGUGGCUAGUGGGUGUAUGUCUCUCCCACCUUAGUCGGAUUGGAUUCGAUGAAAAUGGUCCUUAUGAAGGGUAAAUAGCAAUUGGCAUAUCACCGUUGUGUCUUUUGCGUAGGUAAGAAAUGUUCUUGCUAGAAACCCAUAGUAGCCAUGUAAAAUAUGCAACAACAAUUAGAGGACGUCUAACUUGUUUUUGCAGGGUAUGCUAUGUGAUGUGAUAUGGCCAAAAGGAUGUGAUGAAUGAUAUAUCUGAUGUAUGAGAUUGAUCAUGUCCUUGUAAUAGGAAUCAUGACUUGCAUGUCGAUGAGUAUGACAACCGGCAGGAGCCAUAGGAGUUGUCUUAAUUUAUUGUAUGACAUGCGUGUCAAUGAGAACGCCAUGUAAUUACUUUACUUUAUUGCUAACCGUUAGCCAUAGUAGUAGAAGUAAUAGUUGGCGAGACAACUUCAUGAAGACACGAUGAUGGAGAUCAUGGUGUCGUGCCGGUGACGAAGGUGAUCAUGCCGCGCCUCAAAGAUGGAGAUCAAAGGCGCAAAAUGAUAUUGGCCAUAUCAUGUCAAUUUAUGAUUUGCAUGUGAUGUUUGUCAUGUUUACAUCUUAUUUUCUUAGAACGACGGUAGCAUAAAUAAGAUGACCCCUCACUAAAAUUUCAAGAAAGUGUUCCCCCUAACUGUGCACCAUUGCUAAGGUUCGUUGUUUCGAAGCACCACGUGAUGAUAGGGUGUGAUAGAUUCUAACAUUCACAUACAACAGGUGUAAGCCAGAUUUAAACAUGCAAAACACUUAGGUUGACUUGACGAGCCUAGCAUGUACAGACAUGGCCUCGGAACACGAGAGACCGAAAGGUCGAACAUGAGUCGUAUAGCAGAUAUGAUCAACAUGGAGAUGUUCACCGAUGAUGACUAGUCCGUCUUGAUAUGUCUCCAACGUAUCUAUAAUUUUUGGUUGUUCCAUGCUAUUAUAUUACACCUUUUGGCUGUUUAUGGGCUUUAUUUUACACGUUUAUAUCAUUUUUGGGACUAACCUACUAACCGGAGGCCCAGCCCGUAUUGCUGUUUUUUUGCCUAUUUCAGUAUUUCGAAGAACAUGAAUGUCAAACGGAGUCCAAACGGAAUGAAACCUCCGGGAGCGUGAUUUUUGAAACGAACGUGAUCCAGAGGACUUGGAGUGCAAGUCAAGAAGCAAUCGAGGCGGCCAGGAGAUAGGAGGGCGCGCCCACCCCUCCUGGGCGCGCCCCUGUCUCCUGGGCCCCUCGAGCGGCCACCGACAUACUUCUUCCUCCUAUAUAUACCUACGUACCCCGAAAACAUCCAGGGAGCCACCGAAACACAAUUUCCACCGCCAUAACCUUCUGUAUCCGCGAGAUCCCAUCUUGGAGCCUUCACCGGUGCUCCACCAGAGGGGGAAUCGACCAUGGAGGGCUUCUACAUCAACACCAUAGCCCCUCCGAUGAGUUUCGAGUAGUUUACCACAAACCUUCGGGUCCAUAGUUAUUAGCUAGAUGGCGUCUUCUCUCUUUUUUGACCUCAAUACAAUGUUCUCCCCCUCUCUUGUAGAGAUCUAUUUGAUGUAAACUCUUUUUGCGGUGUGUUUAUCGAGAUCCGAUGAAUUGUGGGUUUAUGAUCAAGUUUAUCUAUGAGAAAUAUUUGAAUCUUCUCUGAAAUCUUUUAUGUAUGAUUGAGUUAUCUUUGCAAGCCUCUUCGAAUUAUCUGUUUGGUUUGGCCUACUAGAUUGAUCUUUCUUGCCAUGGGAGAAGUGCUUAGCUUUGGGUUCAAUCUUGCGGUGUCCUUACCCAGUGACAGAAAGGGUUGCAAGGCACGUAUUGUGUUGUUGCCAUCGAGGAUAAAAAGAUGGGGGUUUAUACCAUAUUGCUUGAGUUUGUCCCUCUACAUCAUGUCAUCUUUGUUAAUGCGUUACUCUGUUCUUAUGAACUUAAUACUCUAGAUGCAUGCUAGAUAGCGGUCGAUGUGUGGAGUAAUAGUAGUAGAUGCAGGCAGGAGUCGGUCUACUUGUCACGGAUGUGAUGCCUAUAUACAUGAUCAUGCCUAGAUAAUCUCAUAAUUAUUCGCUUUUCUAUCAAUUGCUCGACAGUAAUUUGUUCACCCACCGUAAUACUUAUGCUAUCUUGAGAGAAGCCACUAGUAAAACCUAUGGCCCCCGGGUCCAUCUUUUAUCAUAUAAGCUUUCAAUGUACUUUUAUUUGCAUCUUUACUUUUUGCAUCUAUAAUAUAAAAUACCAAAAAUAUAUUUAUCUUAUCAUACUAUCUCUAUCAGAUCUCACUUUCGCAAGUGUCUGUGAAGGGAUUGACAACCCCUUUAUUGCGUUGGUUGCGAGUUCUUUGUUUGUUUGUGUAGGUGCGUGGCACUUUUGAGGAGCCUCCUACUAGAUUGAUACCUUGGUUCUCAAAAACUAAGGGAAAUACUUAUGGUACUAUUGCUGAAAUCACCCUUUCCUCUUCAAGGAAAACCAACGCACGCUCAAGACGUAGCAAGAAGGAUUUCUGGCGGCAUUGCCGGGGAGGUCUUCGCUCAAGUCAAGACAUACCAAGUACCCAUCACAAACUCAUCUCCCUCGCAUUUACAUUAUUUGCCAUUUGCCUCAUUAUUUGCCAUUUGCCUCUCAUUUUCCUCUCCCCCACUUCACCCUUGCCAUUUUAUUUGCCCUCUCUUUCCCAAUUCUCUCUCUCCCUUUCGCUUGCCUUUUUCUGUUUGCUUGUGUGUUGGAUUACUUGUUGCCAUGGCGCAAGAUAAUACCAAAUUGUGUGAUUUUUCCAAUACCAAUAAUAAUGAUUUCCUUAGUACUCUGAUUGCUCCUCUUAAUGAUGUUGAGUCUUGUGAAAUCAAUACUGCUUUGUUGAAUCUUGUUAUGAAAGAUCAAUUCGCCGGCCUUCCUAGUGAAGAUGCCGCUACUCAUCUAAACAACUUUGUUGAUUUGUGUGAUAUGCAAAAGAAGAAAGAUACGGAUAAUGAUAUUGUUAAAUUGAAGUUAUUUCCCUUUUCACUUAGAGAUCGUGCUAAAGUUUGGUUUUCGUCUUUGCCUAAAAAUAGUAUUGAUUCUUGGAACAAGUGCAAAGAUACUUUUAUCUCUAAGUAUUUUCCUCCCGCUAAGAUUAUCACUCUUAGGAACGAUAUUAUGAAUUUUAAACAACUUGAUCAUGAGCAUGUUGCCCAAUCUUGGGAAAGAAUGAAAUUGAUGAUUCAUAAUUGCCCUACUUAUGGUUUGAAUUUAUGGAUGAUCAUACAAAAUUUUUAUGCCAGUUUGAACUUUGCUUUUAGAAAUCUUUUAGAUUCAGCCGCGGGAGGCACGUUUAUGGAAGUCACGUUAGGAGAUGCUACAAAACUUCUUGAUAAUAUUAUGGCUAAUUAUUCUUAAUGGCACACCGAAAGAUCUUCUAGUAAAAAAGUGCAUGCUAUAGAAGAAAUCAAUGUUUUGAGUGGAAAGAUGGAUGAACUUAUGAAGUUGUUUGCUACUAAAAAUACUCCUCUUGAUCCCAAUGAUAUGCCUUUGUCUACUUUGAUUGAGAAUAAUAAUGAAUCUAUGGAUGUGAAUUUUGUUGGUAGGAAUAGUUUUGGAAACAAUGUUUAUGGAGGAAACUUUAAUUCUAGACCGUUCCCUAGUAAUUCCUCUAAUAAAUAUGGAAAUUCCUACAAUAAUUCUUAUGGUAAUUUUAAUAAGAUGCCCUAUGAUUUUGAGAAUAGUGUGAAAGAAUUUAUGAUUUCUCAAAAGAAUUUUAAUGCUUUGCUUGAAGAAAAAUUACUCAAAGUUGAUGAUUUGGCUAGGAAAGUUGAUAGACUUUCGCUUGAUGUUGAUUCUCUUAAACUUAGAUCUACUACUCCUCAGCAUGAUAUCAAUGAGUCUCCCAAAGCCAUGAGAAUUUCCAUCGAUGAGUGCAAGGAAAGAACCGCUAGAUUGCGUGCUAAGAAAGAUUGCUUUGUAAAGGCGUGUUCUUCUAGUUUCCAUGAAAAUAAUGAUGAAGAUCUUAAAGUUAUUGAUGUGUCUCCUAUUAGAUCUUUGUUUUGCAAUAUGAAUCUUGAUAAUAAUGGGACUGGAGAUGAGUCAACUUUAUUUAGAAGGCGUCCCAAGAAUUCAGAGUUUUUAGAUAUUGAUGCUAAAUUUGGUAAAAGUGGGAUUGGAGAGGUCAUGACUUUAAAUAGUAUUGAACCCACUAUCUCGGAUUUCAAGGAAUUUGAUUAUGAUAAUUGUUCUUUAUAAAGUUGUAUUCGCUUGUUGCAAUCCGUUGUUAAUUCUCCUCAUGCUUAUAGUCAAAAUAAAGCUUUUACCAAACAUAUCGUUGAUGCCUUGAUGCAAUCUUUUGAUGAAAAACUUAAUUUGGAAGUUUCUAUACCUAGAAAACUUAAUAACGAGUGGAAACCUACUAUAAAGAUUAAAAUUAAAGAUCAUUAGUGUUUUGCUUUGUGUGAUUUGGGUGCUAGUGUUUCCACAAUUCUGAAAACUUUAUGUGAUAUUCUACGUUUCCAUGAUCUUGAUGAUUGCUCUUUAAAUUUGCACCUUGCGGAUUCCACCAUUAAAAAUCCAAUGGGAAGGAUCAAUGAUGUUAUCAUUGUUGCAAAUAGAAAUUUGGUGCCCAUAGAUUUUAUCGUUCUUGAUAUAGAUUGCAAUCUUUCUUGCCCUAUUAUUCUUGGUAGACCUUUCCUUAGAAUGAUUGUUGAGAUUAUUGAUAUGAAGGAAGGGAAUAUGAGAUUACAAUUUCCAUUAAAGAAAGGCAUGGAGCACUUUACAAGAAAUAAAGUCAAAUUACCUUAUGAAUCUAUCAUGCGAGCUACCUAUGAAUCAAGUGCCAAAGAUGGCACUACUUAGAUCUAUCUUCGCUUUUAUGCCUAGCUAGGGGCAUUAAACGAUAGCGCUAGUUGGGAGGCAACCCAAUUUUCUUUGUGUUUUUUUUGUUUUUGUUCCUGUUUAGUAAUAAAUUUUGCAUCUAACUUCUGUUUAGAUGUGUUUUAUGUUUUAAUUAGUGUUUGUGCCAAGUAGAACCUAUAGGAUAACCUAUGAUGAUAGUUGAUUUGAUUCUGCUGAAAAACAGAAACUUUGUGCUCACGAGAACAAAUUCAAUAAAUCACAGAAACGUGAUUUUGCAUUUAUUCGUUUUGCUGCUGAUCAAUAAACAAAUUUUCCAGGACUUCCUAUUUUGGUAGGAUUUUUAGAGUUCCAGAAGUUUGCGUUAGUUACAGAUUGCUACAGACUGUUCUGUUUUUUGACAGAUUCUGUUUUUCGUGUGUUGUUUGCUUAUUUUGAUGCAUCUAUGGCUAGUAUUAAGUGGUAUGAACCAUAGAGAACUUGGAAUACAGUAGGUUUAACACCAAUAUAAGUAAAGAAUGAGUUCAUUACAGUACUUUAUGUGGUGGUUUUGUUUUCUUUCAUUAACAGAGCUUAUGAGAUUUCCUAUUGAGUUUUGUGUUCUUAAGUUUUCCAGUUUUGGGUAAAGCUUUGAUGGACUAUGGAAUAAGGAGUGGAAAAAGCCUAAGCUUGGGGAUUCCCAAGGCACCCCAAGAUAUUCAAUAAUAUCCAAAAGCCUAAGCUUGGGGAUGCCCCGGAAGGCAUCCCCUCUUUCGUUUUCGUUCAUUGGUAACUUUACUUGGAGCUAUAUUUUUAUCCGCCACAUGAUAUGUGUUUUGCUUGGAGCGUCGUGUAUUAUAUUAGUCUUUGAUUUUUAGUUUACCACAAUCAUACUUGCUGUACACACCUUUUGGGAGAAGCCCACUUGAUUAGAAUUUAUUAGAAUAUGCUAUGUGCUUCACUUAUAUCUUUUGAGCUAGAUAGUUUUUGCUCUAGUGCUUCACUUAUAUCUUUUUGAGCACGGCGGUGGCUUAAUUUUGUAGAAAUUGCUAGUCUAUCAUGCUUCACUUAUAUUAUUUUGAGAGUCUCUUAGAACAGCAUGGUAUUUUCUAUGGUUAUGAAUUUGGUCCUAGAAUGAUGAGCAUCCAAGUUGGGUAUAAUAAAAACUACCAUAGAAAGUGCAUUAAACACUAGGAUCAAUUUGAUGCUUGAUAAUUGUUUUGAGAUAUAAAGGUAGUAAUGUUAGAGUCAUGCUAGUGGGUAAUUAUGAAAUUGAGAAAUACUUGUGUUGAAGUUGGCAAGUCCCGUAUCAUGCAUGUAUGGUAAAAGUUGUGUGACAAAUUUGUUGCAUGAGGUUCUCUUUUGAUUGUCUUCCUUAUGAGUGGCAGUCGGGGACGAGCAAUGGUCUUUUCCUACCAAUCUAUCCCUCUAGGGGCAUGCGUAUUAGUACUUUGCUUCGAGGGCUAAGUAUACUUUUGCAAUAAGUAUAUGAGUUCUUUAUGACUAAUGUGAGUCCAUGGAUAUACGCACACUCAUCCUUCCAUUUAGCUAGCCUCUAUUAUACCACGCAACUUUCGCCGGUAGCAUGCACCCAUUAUUUACCUUCCUCAAAACAGCCACCAUAUCUACCUAUUAUGGCAUUUCCAUAGCCAUUCCAAGAUAUAUUGCCAUGCAACUUUCCACCAUUCUGUUUAUUAUGACACGCUCCAUCAUUGUCAUAUUGCUCUUUGCAUGAUCAUGUAGUUGACAUCGUAUUUGUGGCAAAGCCACCUUCAUAAUUUUCAUACAUGUCGCUCUUGAUUCAUUGCAUAUCCCGGUACACCGCCGGAGGAAUUCAUAUAGAGUCAUAUCUUGUUCUAGCUUUGAGUUGUAAAUCAAUAAAAGUGUGAUGAUCUUCAUUAUUAGAGCAUUGUCCCAGUGAGGAAAGGAUGAUGAAGACUAUGAUUCCCCCACAAGUCGGGAUGAGACUUCGGACUUUACAAAGAAAAAAAGAAGAGAGAAAGGCCAAAAAAAAAAAAGGCCAAAGAAACAAAAAGAAAAAAAGGAAAAUAAAAUAAAAUAAAAUGAGAGAAAAAGGGAGAAAGGACAAUUGCUACUAUGUCUUUUCCACACUUGUGCUUCAAAAUAGCACCAUGAUCUUCAUGAUAGAGAGUCUCCUAUGUUGUCACUUUCAUAUACUAGUGGGAAUUUUUCAUUAUAGAACUUGGCUUGUAUAUUCCAAUGAUGGGCUUCAUCAAAAUGCCCUAGGUCUUCGCGAGUAAGCAAGUUGGAUGCACACUCACUUAGUUUCUUUUGUUGAGAUUUCAUACAUUUAGAGCUCUAGUGCAUCCGUUGCAUGGCAAUCCCUACUCACUCACAUUGAUAUCUAUUAAUGGGCAUCUCCGUAGCCCGUUGAUACGCCUAGUUGAUGUGAGGCUAUCUUCUCCCUUUUGUCCUUACAACCACCACCAUAUACCACCAUAGUGCUAUGUCCAUGGCUUGCGCUCAUGUAUUGCGUAAGAGUUGAAAAAAGCUGAAGCGCAUUAAAAAGUAUGAACCAAUUUCUCGGCUCGUCAUCGGGGUUGUACAUGAUGGGAGUAUUUUGUGUAAUGAAAAUGAAGCAUGGCCUAACUAUAUGAUUUUGUAGGGAUAAGCUUUCUUUGGCUAUUCUAUUUUGAUAGGACAUGAUUAUUUGUUAGUAUGCUUCGAAGUAUUAUUAUUUUUACGUUUUAUAAGCUUUUAUCUUGAAUAAUUUGGAUCUGAAAAAUCAUGCCACAAUAAAGAAAAUUACAUUGAGAAUUAUGCUAGGUAGCAUUCCACAUCCAAAAUUCUGUUUUUAUCAUUUACCUACUCGAGGACGAGUAGGAAUUAAGCUUGGGGAUGCUUGAUACGUCUCCAACGUAUCUAUAAUUUUUGAUUGUUCCAUGCUAUUAUAUUACCCCUUUUGGAUGUUUAUGGGCUUUAUUUUACACAUUUAUAUCAUUUUUGGGACUAACCUACUAACCGGAGGCCCAGCCCGUAUUGCUGUUUUUUUUGCCUAUUUUAGUAUUUCAAAGAAAAGGAAUAUCAAACGGAGUCCAAACGGAAUGAAACCUUCGGGAGCGUGAUUUUUGGAACGAACGUAAUCCAGAGGACUUGGAGUGCAAGUCAAGAAGCAAUCGAGGCGGCCAGGAGAUAGGAGGGCGCGCCCACCCCUCCUGGGCGCGCCCUAUCUCCUGGGCCCCUCGAGCGGCCACCGACAUACUUCUUCCUCCUAUAUAUACCUAUGUACCCCGAAAACAUCCAGGGAGCCACCGAAACACAAUUUCCACCGCCGUAACCUUCUGUAUCCUCGAGAUCCCAUCUUGGAGCCUUCGCCGGCGCGCCGCUGGAGGGGGAAUCGACCAUGGAGGGCUUCUACAUCAACACCAUAGCCCCUCCGAUGAGUUGUGAGUAGUUUACCACAGACCUUCGGGUCCAUAGUUAUUAGCUAGAUGGCUUCUUCUCUCUUUUUUGAUCUCAAUACAAUGUUCUCCCCCUCUCUUGUGGAGAUCUAUUCGAUGUAAACUCUUUUUGCGGUGUGUUUGUCGAGAUCCAAUGAAUUGUGGGUUUAUGAUCAAGUUUAUCUAUGAGAAAUAUUUGAAUCUUCUCUGAAAUCUUUUAUGUAUGAUUGAGUUAUCUUUGCAAGUCUCUUCAAAUUAUCAGUUUGGUUUGGCCUACUAGAUUAAUCUUUCUUGCCAUGGGAGAAGUGCUUAGCUUUGGGUUCAAUCUUGCGGUGUCCUUAUCCAGUGAUAGAAAGGGUUGCAAGGCACGUAUUGUAUUGUUGCCAUCGAGGAUAAAAAGAUGGGGUUUAUAUCAUAUUUCUUGAGUUUAUCCCUCUACAUCAUGUCAUCUUUGUUCAUGCGUUACUCUGUUCUUAUGAGCUUAAUACUCUAGAUGCAUGCUGGAUAGCGGUCGAUGUGUGGAGUAAUAGUAGUAGAUGCAGGCAGGAGUCGGUCUACUUGUCACGGACGUGAUGCCUAUAUACAUAAUCAUGCCUAGAUAAUCUCAUAAUUAUUCGCUUUUCUAUCAAUUGCUCGACAGUAAUUUGUUCACCCACCGUAAUACUUAUGCUAUCUUGAGAGAAGCCACUAGUGAAACCUAUGCCCCCCGGGUCCAUCUUUUAUCAUAUAAGCUUUCAAUCUACUUUUAUUUGCAUCUUUAAUUUUUGCAUCUAUAUUAUAAAAUACCAAAAAUAUAUUUAUCUUAUCAGACUAUCUCUAUCAGAUGUCACUUUCGCAAGUGGCCGUGAAGGGAUUGACAACCCCUUUAUUGCGUUGGUUGCGAGUUCUUUGUUUGUUUGUGUAGGUGCGUGGGACUUUUGAGGAGCCUCCUACUGGAUUGAUACCUUUGUUCUCAAACACUGAGGGAAAUACUUAUGCUACUAUUGCUGCACCACCCUUUCCUCUUCAAGGAAAACCAACACAAGCUCCAUACAUAGCACGUCUCACGUGAUGAUUGGACACGGCCUAGUUGAUUCGGAUCAUGUAUCACUUAGAUGACUAGAGGGAUGUCUAUCUGAGUGGGAGUUCUUUAAAUAAUUUGAUUAGAUGAACUUAAUUAUUAUGAACAUAGCCAAAAGGUCUUUGCAAUUUAUGUCAUAGCUUGCGCUUUAGUUCUAUUGUUUUAGAUAUGUUCCUAGAGAAAAGUUUAGUUGAAAGUUGAUAGUAGCAAUUAUGCGUACUGGGUCUGUAAACUGAGGAUUGUCCUCAUUGCUGCCCAGAAGGCUUAUAUCCUUAAUGCACCGCUCGGUGUGCUGGACCUCGAACAUCGUCUGUGGAUGUUGCGAACAUCUGACAUACACGUUUUGAUGACUACGUGAUAGUUCAUUGUGUAAUGCUAAACGGUUUAGAAUUGAGGCGCCGAAGACAUUUUUGAAACGUCUUGGAACAUGUGAGAUGUUCCAAGGGCUAAAAUUGGGAUUUCAGGCUCGUGCCCACGUCAAGAGGUAUGAGACCUCUGACGAGUUUCUUAGCCUACAAAGGGAGAAAAGCUCAAUCGUUGAGCAUGUGCUCAGAUUGUCUGAGUACUACAAUUACUUGGAUCGAGUGGGAGUUAAUCUUCCAGAUGAGAUAGUGAUGGUUGUCCAAAGUCACUACCACCAAGCUACUAGAGCUGCGUGAUGAACUAUAACAUAUCAGGGAUAGAUAUGAUGAUCCUUGAGCUAUUCGUGGUGUUUGACACCGCGAAAAUAGAAAUCAAGUAGGAGCAUCAAUUGUUGAUGGUUAGUAAAACCACUAGUUUCUAGAAGGGCAAGUGCAAGAAUGGAUACUUCAUCAAAUGGCAAAUCAGUUGCUGCUCUAGUGAAGAAACCCAAGGUUGAACCAAAACCCGAGACUAAGUGCUUCUUUAACAAGGGGAACGGUCACUGAAGCAAAACUACCCUAGAUACUUGAUAGAUGAGAAGGCUGGCAAGGUGGAUAGAAGUAUAUUGGAUAUACAUUAUAUUAAUGUGUACUUUAUUAGUAUUCCUAGUAGCACCAGAGUAUUAGAUACCGGUUCGGUUGCUAAGUGUUAGUAACUCAAAAUAAAAGGGCAAUGUAAUAAAUGGAGACUAUCUAAAGGCAAGGUGACGAUAUGUGUUGGAAGUGUUUCCAAGGUUAAUGUGAUCAAACAUCGCACGCUGCCUCUACCAUCGGGAUUGGUGUUAAACCUAAAUAAUUGUUAUUUAGUGUUUGCGUUGAGCAUAGACAUGAUUGGAUUAUGUCUAUCACAAUAUGGUUAUUCAUUUAAGGAGAACAAUGGUUACUCUGUUUAUUUGAAUAAUACCUUCAAUGGUGUUGCACCUAAAAUGAAUGGUUUAUUGAAUCUCGAUCGUAGUGAUACACAUGUUCAUGCCAGAAGAUAUAAGAUAGUAAUGAUAUAGUACCACCUUCUUGUGGCACUGUCAUUUGAGUCAUAUUGGUAUAAAACGCAUGAAGAAGCUCCAUGUUGAUGGAUCUUUGGACUCACUUGUUUUUUUGAAAAAUUUGAGACAUGCGAACCAUGUCUAUUGGUAUGUAUGCAUGAAGAAACUCCAUGCAGAUGGAUCGUUUGGACUCACUUGAUUUUGAAUCACUUGAGACAUGCAAAUCAUACCACAUGGGCAAGAUGACUGAAAGGCCUCAUUUUCAGUGAGAUGGAACAAGAAAGCAACUUUUUGGAAGUAAUACAUUUUGAUGUCUGCAGUCCAAUGAGUGCCGAGGCACGCAGUGGAUAUCGUUAUGUUCUUACUUCACAAAUGAUUUGAGUAGAUGCUAAGUAUAUUUACUUGAUGAAACAGAAGUCUGAAUUAUUGAAAGGUUCAAGUAAUUUCAGAGUGAAGUUGAAGAUCGUCGUGACAAGAGGAUAAAAUGUCUAUGAUAUGAUCAUAGAGAUAAAUAUCUGAGUUACGAGUUUGGUACAAAAUUAAGAAGUUGAGGAAAUUGUUUCACAACUAAUACCGCCUGGAACACCAUAGUGUGAUGGUAUGUCCAAACAUCAUAGAUGCACCCUAUUGGAUAUGGUGCAUACCAUGAUGUCUCUUAGCGAAUUACCACUAUCGUUUAUGGGUUAGGCAUUAGAGACAACCACAUUCACAUUAAAUAGGGCACCACAUAAUUCCGUUGAGAUGACACCGUAUGAACUAUGGAUUAGAGAAACCUAAGCUGUCAUUUCUUAAAAGCUUGGGGCUGCGACGCUUGUGUGAAAAAGUUUCAGCCUGAUAAGCUCGAACCCAAAGCGUAUAAAUGCAUCUUCAUAGGACACCCAAAACAGUUGGGUAUACCUCCUAUCUCAGAUCAGGAAGCAAAAGUGAUUGUUUCUAGAAAUGGGUCCUGUCUCGAGGAAAAGUUUCUCUCGAAAGAAGUGAGUGGGAGGAUGGUGGAGACUUGAUGAUGAGGUUAUUGAACCAUCACUUCAACCAGUGUGUAGUAGGGCACAUGAAGUUGUUCCUGUGGCGCCUACACCAGUUGAAGUGGAAGCUGAUGAUAGUGAUCAUGAAUCUUCGGAUCAAGUCAGUACCAAACCUCGUAGGUCAACACAGACACGUACUUCUUCAGAGUGGUAUGGUAAUCCUGUCUUGGAGGUCAUGUUGCCAGACAACAAUGAACCUACGAGCUAUGGAGAAGCAAUGGUGGGCCCGGAUUAUGACAAAUGGCUCGGGGCCACAAAAAUCCGAGAAAGGAUCCAUGUAUGAAAACAAAGUGUAGACUUUGGAAGAACUACUUGAUGGUCGUAAGGCUGUUGGGUACAGAUGGAUUUUAAAAGUUAGACGGACAAUGAUGGUAAGUGUCACCAUUAAGAAAGCUCGACUUGUCGCUAAGAUGUUUCCGACAAGUUCAAGGAGUUGACUACGAUGAGACUUUCUCACUCGUAGCGGUGCUAAGAGUCUAUUGGAAUUAUAUUAGCAGUUACUACAUUAUUUAUGAAAUCUUGCAUAUAGGAUGUCUAAACAUUGUUUCCUGGACGAGAUUCUUGAGGACAGGUUGUAUGUGAUACAACCAGAAGGUUUUGUCAAUCCUAAAAGAUGCUAACAAGUAUGCAAAGCUCCAGCAAUCCUUCUAAGGACUGGAGUAAGCAUCUCGGAGUCGAAAUAUACGCUUUGAUGAGAUGAUCAAAGAUUUUGGGUUUAUAUAAAGUUUAUGAGAAACUUGUAUUUCCAAAGAAGUGAGUGGGAGCACUAUAGAAUUUCUGAUGAGUAUAUGUUGUUGACAUAUUCUUGAUCAAAAAUGAUGUAGAAUUUCUGGAAAGCAUAUAGGGUUAUUUGUAAAGCGUUUUUCAAUGGAAAACCUGGAUUAAGCUACUUGAACAUUGAGCAUCAAGGAUAGAUCAAAAUUGCUUGAUAAUACUUUCAAAUUAAUAUGCACCAUGACAAGAUUUUGAAGCAGUUCAAAAUAGAUCGGCAAAGAAGGAGUUCUUGGUUGUAUUAUAAGGUGUGAGUAUUGAGUAAGACUCAAGACCUGACCACGGCAGAGGAGAGAGAAAUGACGAAGGUCGUCUCCUAUGCUCUACAGUAUGCUAUGCUGUGUACCGCACCUAAAGUGUGCCUUGCCAUGAGUCAGUGAAGGGGUACAAGAGUGAUCCAGGAAUGGAUCACUGGACAACGGUCAAAGUUAUCCUUAGUAACUAGUGGACUAAGGAAUUUUUCUUGAUUACGGAGGUGGUAAAAGAGUUCGUCGUAAAGGGUUACGUCGAUGCAAACUUUGACACUAAUCUGGAUGACUCUGAGUAGUAAACCGGAUUCAUAUAGUAGAACAGUUAUUUGGAAUAGUUCCAAAUGGCGUGUGGUAGUUGCAUCUAUGAGAUGACAUAGAGAUUUGUAAAGCACACACAGAUCUGAAAGGUUCAGACCCGUUGACUAAUAACCUCUCUCACAAGCGAGAAGUGAUCAAAUCCCAUGGGUGUUGGAUUCAUUACAAUCACAUAGUGAUGUGAACUAGAUAAUUGACUCUAGUGCAAAUGAGAGACUGUUGGAAAUAUGCCCUAGAGGCAAUAAUAAAUUGGUUAUUAUUAUAUAUCCUUGUUCAUGAUAAUUGUCUAUUAUUCAUGCUAUAAUUGUAUUAAUCGGAAACCGUAAUACAUGUGUGAAAUACAUAGACCACAACAUGUCCCUAGUAAGCCUCUAGUUGACUAGCUCGUCGAUCAAUAGAUGGUUACGGUUUCCUGACCAUGGACAUUGGAUGUCGUUGAUAACGGGAUCACAUCAUUAGGAGAAUGAUGUGAUGGACAAGACCCAAUCCUAAGCAUAGCACAAGAUCGUGUAGUUCGUUUGCUAAAGCUUUUCUAAUGUCAAGUAUCAUUUCCUUAGACCAUGAGAUUGUGCAACUCCCGGAUACCGUAGGAAUGCUUUGGGUGUAUCAAACGUCACAACAUAACUGGGUGGCUAUAAAGGUGCACUACAGGUAUCUCCAAAAUUGUCUGUUGGGUUGGCACGAGUCGGAAUUGGGAUUUGUCACUCCGUAUGACGGAGAGGUAUCUCUGGGCCCACUCAGUAAUGCAUCAUCAUAAUGAGCUCAAUGUCACUAAUGAGUUUGCCACAGGAUCAUGCAUUACGUAAUGAGUAAAGAGACUUGCCGGUAACGAGAUUGAACAAGGUAUAGGGAUACUGACGAUCAAAUAUCGGGCAAGUAACAUACCGAUGGACAAAGGGAAUUGUAUACGGGAUUUAUUGAAUCCCCGACAUCGUGGUUCAUCCGAUGAGAUCAUCGUGGAACAUGUGGGAGCCAAUAUGGGUAUCCAGAUACCGCUAUUGGUUAUUGUCCAGAGAGGUAUCUCAGUCAUGUCUACAUUGUUCUCGAACCCGUAAGGUCUACACACUUAAGGAUCGGUGACACUAGAGUUGUUAUGGGAAUAGUAUGUGGUUACCGAAGGUUGUUAGGAGUCCCGGAUGAGAUCCUGGACGUGACGAGGAGUUCCGGAAUGGUCUGGAGGUGAAGAUUGAUAUAUUGGACGAAGGGUAUUGGAGUCCGGAAGUGUUCCGGGGGUACCAGGCUUUGGCCAGCAUGACCGGAAGGUGUUUCGGGGGGCCCAACAAGUGUUGCAAGGCCUCAUGGGCCAAGGGGAGGGGGAAAACGAGCCCACUAAGGGGCUGUGCGCCCCACACCCUUUCCCAUGUUGCUUGUGGAGGUGGGGCGCCUCCACCUGACUUGGGAGGCAAGCCUCCACCUGCUUGGCUUGGGGGCGAGUCUCCCUAGGGGUUCCCUAGGGAGAUCCAAUCUGCCCUGGACGCCGCCCCCCUAGGGGAAACUGAUAACCCACAAGUAUAGGGGAUCGCAACAGUUUUCGAGGGUAGAGUAUUCAACCCAAAUUUAUUGAUUCGACACAAGGGGAGCCAAAGAAUAUUCUCAAGUAUUAGUAGCUGAGUUGUCAAUUCAACCACACCUGGAAACUUCGUAUCUGCAGCAAAGUGUUUAGUAGCAAAGUAAUAUGAUAGUGGUGGUAACGGUAACAAAAGUAAAGACAGCAAAAGUAGUGUUUUUGGUAUUUUUGUAGUGAUUGUAACAGUAACAACGGAAAAGUAAAUAAGCUAGAACCAGUAUAUGGAAAACUCGUAGGCACCGGAUCAAUGAUGGAUAGUUAUGCCGGAUGUGGUUCAUCAUGUAACAGUCAUAACAUAGGGUGACACAGAACUAGCUCCAGUUCAUCAAUGUAAUGUAGGCAUGUAUUCUGAAUAUAGUCAUACGUGCUUAUGGGAAAGAACUUGCAUGACAUCUUUUGUCCUACCCUCCCGUGGCAGCAGGGUCGUAUUGGAAACUAAGGGAUAUUAAGGCCUCCUUUUAAUAGAGAACUGGAACAAAGCAUUAGCACAUAGUGAAUACAUGAACUCCUCAAACUAAGGUCAUCACCGGGAGUGGUUCCGAUUAUUGUCACUUCGGGGUUGCCGGAUCAUAACACAUAGUAGGUGACUAUAGACUUGCAAGAUAGGAUCAAGAACUCACAUAUAUUCAUGAAAACAUAAUAGGUUCAGAUCUGAAAUCAUGGCACUCGGGCCCUAGUGACAAGCAUUAAGCUUAGCAAAGUCAUAGCAACAUCAAUCUCAGAACAUAGUGGAUACUAGCGAUCAAGCCCUAACAAAACUAACUCGAUUACAUGAUAAAUCUCAUCCAACCCAUCACCGUCCAGCAAGCUUAUGAUGGAAUUACUCAUGCACGGCGGUGAGCAUCAUGAAAUUGGUGAUGGAGGAUGGUUGAUGAUGACGACGCGACGAAUCCCCCUCUCUAGAGCCCCGAACGGACUCCAGAUCAGCCCUCCCGAGACAGAUUAGGGCUUGGCAGCGGCUCCGUAUCGUAACACGCGAUGAUUUCUUCUCUCUGAUUUUUUCUCUCCCCGAAAGCCAAUAUAUGGAGUUGGAGUUGGCGUCGGAUGGCCNNNNNNNNNNNNNNNNNNNNNNNNNNNNNNNNNNNNNNNNNNNNNNNNNNNNNNNNNNNNNNNNNNNNNNNNNNNNNNNNNNNNNNNNNNNNNNNNNNNNNNNNNNNNNNNNNNNNNNNNNNNNNNNNNNNNNNNNNNNNNNNNNNNNNNNNNNNNNNNNNNNNNNNNNNNNNNNNNNNNNNNNNNNNNNNNNNNNNNNNNNNNNNNNNNNNNNNNNNNNNNNNNNNNNNNNNNNNNNNNNNNNNNNNNNNNNNNNNNNNNNNNNNNNNNNNNNNNNNNNNNNNNNNNNNNNNNNNNNNNNGGGGGGCGCCCCCCACCCUCGUGGACACGGUGUGGGCCCCCUGGUCUUCAUCUUUGGCGAGGAUUUUUUAUUAAUUAUCCUAAGAUAUUCCGUGGAGUUUCAGGUCGUUCCGAGAACUUUUAUUUUCUGCACAUAAAACAACACCAUGGCAAUUCUGCUAAAAACAGCGUCAGUCCGGGUUAGUUCCAUUCAAAUCAUACAAGUUAGUGUCCAAAACAAGGGCAAAAGUGUUUGGAAAAGUAGAUACGAUGGAGACGUAUCAGCUCCCCCAAGCUUAAACCCUUGCUUGUCCUCAAGCAAUUCAGUUGACAAACUGAAAGAGAAAAAGAAAAACUUUUACAAACUCUGUUUGCUCUUGUUGUUGUAAACAUGAAAAGCCGGCAUUCAAGUUUCAGCAAAUAUUAUGAACUAACCAUACUAACAAUAACACAAAGGUCUCACAAUUACUCAUAUCAAUAGCAUAAUCAGCUAGCGAGCUAUAAUAACAAAACUCAGAUGACAACACUUUCUCAAAAUAAUCAUAACAUGAUAUAACGAAAUGGUAUCUCGCUAGCCCUUUCAGAGACCGCAAAACAUAAAUGCAGAGCACCUUCAAAGAUCAAGGACUGACUAAACAUUGUAAUUCAUGGUAAAAGAGAUCCAGUCAAGUCAUACCCAAUAUAAACCAAUGAUAAUGAAUGCAAACGACAGUGUUCUCUCCAGCGGGUGCUUUUUAAUAAGAAGGGUGAUGACUCAACAUAAAAGUAAAUAGAUAGGCCCUUCGCAGAGGGAAGCAGGGAUUUGUAGAGGUGACAGAGCUCAAUUUUAAAAUAGAGAUUGAAUAACAAUUUGAGCGGCAUACUUUUGCUGUCAACGCAACAACUAUGAGAUGGCGAUAUCUUCCAUGCUAAACAAAUUAUAGGCGGUUCCCAAACAGAAUGGUAAAGUUUAUACUCCCCCACCUCCACAAGCAUCAAUCCAUGGCUUGCUCGAAACAACAAGUGCCUCCAACAUUCAAUGGGUCCCAAGGGGAGUUUUGUUUGCAAUUAUUUUGAUUUAGUUUGCAUAAAGCAUGGGACUGGGCAUCCCGGUGACCAGCCAUUUUCUCGUGAGUGAGGAGCGAAGUCCACUCCUCUUGAGAAUAACCGCCUAACAUGGAAGAUAAUGACAGCCCUAGUUGGAACAUGAGCUGCUCGAGUAUACAAAACAGAAUUUCAUUUGAAGGUUUGGAGUUUGGCACAUACAAAUUUACUUGGAACGACAGGUAAAUACCGCAUAUAGGAAGGUAUAGUGGACUCAUAUGGAACAACUUUGGGGUUUAAGGGAGUUUGGAUGCACAAGCAGUAUUCCCGCUUAGUACAGGUGAAGGCUAGCAAAAGACUGGGAAGCGACCAACUGGGAGAGCGACAACAGUCGUAAACAUGCAUUAAAAUUAAUUUACACCGAAUACAAGCAUGAGUAGGAUAUAAUCUACCAUGAACAUAAAUAUCAUGAUGGCUAUGUUGAUUUGAUUCAACUACAUGCGUGAACAUGUUCCAAGUCUAGUCACUCAAUUCAUUUAAAGGAGGAUACCAUCCCAUCAUACCACAUCAUGAUCAUUCUAAUAGCAUGUUGGCAUGCAAGGUAAACCAUUAUAACUCAUAGGUAAUCAAGCAUGGCACAAGCAACUAUAAUCUCUAAAUGUCAUUGCAAAUAUGCUUACUUCAUAAUAGCUAACUCAGGAACGAUGAAUCAUCAUAUCUACAAAAACAAGAGAGGUCGAGUUCAUACCAGCUUUUCUCAUCCCAAUAAGUCCAUCAUAUAUCAUCAUUAUUGCCUUUCACUUGCAUGACCGAACGAAGUGUAUAAUAGUAAGAGUGCACGUGCGUUGGACUAAGCUGGAAUCUGCAAGCAUUCAACUCAAGAGAGAAGACAAGUAAUAUGGGCUCUAAGUUAAAUAAACAAUCAUGCAUAUAAGAGCCACUAAGCAUUUUCAAUAUGGUCUUCUCAACCCCCAAAGAAAGUAAAAGAAAAACUAUUUACACGGGAAAGAUCCCAACAAGCAAAAGAAGAACGGGAAAUAUUUUUGGGUUUUCCUUUUUAAUUACUAGAGCAAAGAAAUAAACUACUACUAAUUUUUUUCUUAAGGUUUAUUAAACACACAAGAAGAAAGCAGGAAAAAGAAAGUAAUCUAGCAUGGAUAUUACAGUGAAAGAGUAUGAACACCGACAUCUGGCAAUGAGUGUGUGUGAACAUAAAUGUAAUGUCGGUGGGAAAUAUGUACUCCCCCAAGCUUAGGCUUUUGGACUAAGUUGGUCUAUUGCCAGGGAUGGCUUGGCAGAUACCCGUAAGUGAAGCUGGGGUCAUACUGUGACGAAGAAGGCUCCGGCUGCCACUGGCUGUCAACCUCCUCUGGAUCCCAAGAAUAAACAGAUAGUCGUGGAGGCUCAUCUUGUAGCUCCGGUUCCGGGGCGGGCACAGGAUUUCGAUAGGCUUGAAUAGCCGCCCACGGAACGGUGUGAGGACCUGCAGACAAGUUAAACAAAGAGGGAGCAGGCAAAGUAAUAGUCUCAGGGUGAUGUUUAUCAAAGUACAGUUUGUAUUUGAGCUCCCCUUCGCGGCUUUUAACAAGAAAGUCAUGUGCUAUCAUACUCCUAUAAUCUAAAUAAGCACGGGGCAGCGAUGUUUCCUCUUUCUCCUCAUGCCUAAUAGGUAUUUCAAAAUGUUCAGCUAGUCGUGAGGCAUAAAUGCCUCCAAAGAUGGGGCCUUUAGUACGGUUCAGACUUAACCGUCUAACAACAAUUCCACCCAUACUAACAGAGUUAUUUCGGUAUAAACCAUGGAACAAAAUGGUCACAUCAGGAAUACUAAGGUUUCCACAAUUUCUGCGACCUAUCAAGCAACGACUAGCAAAUAAGGCAAAGUAGCGUAAAACAGGAAAAUGUAUGCUAGUGAUUCUUGCAUUAGAAACCUUCCUAGUUUCUCCCACCGGGAUAGUGUUAAUAAAAGCUUCUACUUCAUUACGGUGUGGUUCAUCCAUGGUGCCGUCAAAAGGUAUUUUGCAAACCUUGCAAAAUUCGGCUAAUGGCAUCCUCUUAACAAUGUCAUAUAAAUGAAAUCCUACCGAUGGAGGUGAACUCUGAGGGAAAAAGUAGAAAUUUUGCACAAAAGUAUUUGUGAGUAGGAGAUACUGAUGACGUUGGUCGCGGAGGAAGUCGGUGAGGCCAGCAUUCUCAAUUAAUAAAUAGAAAUCUUCAUAAAUCCCGUCUCUCCUCAAGAAGUCAUCGGAAGGCCAUUCACACGGCCGGACCUCCGUAGUGCGAGGCAAAUUAAUUUGGGCUUCUGUUCUUCUUCCUUUUGUUUUUCCUUCGAGCUUCGGCUCGACGAUCCCCUCAAAAGUCUCUUCAUUAUUUUCUGAAACAAUCUGAAAUUUUUAGUAACUUCAAAUAAAAGUGAACCAACUUCAAUAAAAUUGAUAGCAACAACUCCUACAAGUGCCUAGAGCCUAUAUAAAGCAUUGGAACUACUUGGAACCAUAUAAAUUUGACAUGCAAGCUCAAGAACAUGGUCACCUAUGCAACACAAAUUUGCAAUGAAUAAAGAACUAAAACAAAAA
RNAcentral lists this long non-coding RNA (58389 nucleotides) under Triticum aestivum (bread wheat). Its description in RNAcentral is "long non-coding RNA (TAES_LNC008898)". The record is from RNAcentral. Lineage: Eukaryota; Viridiplantae; Streptophyta; Magnoliopsida; Poales; Poaceae.